GAGAGAGAGAGAGAGAGAGAGAGUUUUGACUAAGAAUUUUUCUUAUUCCUUGAGAUAUAGAUAGAGAGAGAGAGUUUGACUGUGAAAUGUUAAUGGUAAUCACAAUUAGAUUUUGAUGAGAAUUCUGAUCUCAAUUAUGAUUAUAAACACUCAUACCAAUCAUAUAAUGCAAAUCUAAACUGGAUAAUUCUCUAAUAUGUGUACUAAUAAAGGUGGCCUUUUUUUCCCCUAUGUUCAUACCUUUAAGAUCUUUCAAAAUUCAAACAAAAUUUGAAUUCUAAAUUUUAUAUAUUUUAAAAUUUUGGUUUUAUUUUUAGAAAUUGGAUAUGAGUUAAAAAGAAAAAAAAUAAACCCAAAAUUUAAAAAUAAAUAAUCGAAUAAUUAUCAAACGUAACCUACGAGAUCAUGUAAAUAUGUACUUAAUUACUUUAUUUGAAGUUGCAAUUACUUGCUUGAUCUAGGCCAUAAAUAUGACAUAGGAUGGUCUAACAAUAGCGAAUCUAUUUGAACAAUAAUCAUAUCAAUUAUUAAAAGUUGAAGCAGUUUACACAACAAAAUGGUAUAUUCUUUCCUAUAUAGACAUGAUUUAACGACUAUAGAUAUAAAACAGUGAAGAAAAGUCAGAAUAGAUGACUUUUACUCUUUAAAUUUUUAUUUUUUCUUUAUAAAACGUAGACCAACUCAAAUAUUUAACUAAAGGAAUAGUCAUUUAUUUGAAGGUUCUAAUUUUUUAAGAUAUAUUAAAAUGAAACUACAAAUUUCACCUACAUCCCAAACACAUGUAAUGAGCUAAUAUACAUAAAACAGAAAGAGAAAAAUCAAUUGACUCUCCCACUUUGAAUCGCAAUUAUUUAUUUUUGAUUCAUUUCUAUUUUCAUUUAGAAGUUGAAAAUUAUUUACAUAAAAUUAUUCUUAAAAAAUAUCACAAAAUCUCUCUAAACAAGUAAAUAAAAGUAGAGAAGGAUUAGCAAGUGAAAAGUUACUCAAAUUUGAUGAAAAUCACUCCUAUAUCUAUUUAGAUCCACGACUUUAAAACAAAAUUUUAAAUAAGAGUCUAAAUAAGUUAACUUAAUUAAAUUGAUAGAUAUAUAACAAUGGGUAAUUAGUAUAAAGUUAAAAAAGUUUUAAUUAAACUAAUACAAAGUCAAAAUUUAAAAGUAUAGAUUAAAUUUUGUAGUCCCUCUAGAAGUGAUGUUAAAUGCGCAACAUCAUUCAAGUAAUUAAUCCACUUAGAAUCCAUAGUUUUUGUUGAGUAGAGAAGUCUUCAACAAUGGAAUUCCAUCACAAACUAAGAACCUUUUUUGUAACAAAAAGAGGCCAAAUUUAAUUUGUUCACGUAAAGUGUUACAAAAAAAAGUCACUCAAUUUUAUAUUAUAAAUAAAAAGAAAGAAUGGAAACUACCAAAUUAUGGAUUAUACCUGAUUAUGGAUUCAAAUAAAACUUUGUCUCAUAUAUAUAUAAAACUUAUAGCUUAGCUUAUAAGUUUACUUUAGAAAGACUUCCACAUUUUGCUUCCAAACCGUCUUUAAAGUUGAGGGACCUAAUAUUCAUUAUACAAAAUUAAAAGUCAUGAUAUGUAAAUAAUUAAUAAGGUCGUAGUUGUACAAUCUAUAAAACAUAUGUCAUAUUUGAAUAAUUAAACGGUCAAAGAUCGAGGAUGAUAAUGAUGACGAACUAAGUUGAUUCAAUGAACAUGAUACUUUUAUAUGUAUAUUCAUGUUAAUAUGAUGAAAAUUGUUGACAUGAACAAUAUUUGAAAUGUAAGAUAUUUAUGAUUUAGACUAGUUAACAAUGAAAUGAUGAAAAAGAGAAGGAUUAUAAGUUUUGAAACGUUACAAAAACGUUGGUUGAGUUAGGUCAUAUUUUGAAUAGUGUUGAAAGGAUGAUGUUUAAGAUUGAAUGCAUGCACACCCACCAUAUUUAUUUGAAGUGUGCCGGCCAAAGGCAUCAUCACAAAAACACAAAUUAAUUCUAUCAACACUUUGACUUUUUGACUCUCAUUAUAUACACCAAACUUCCCCACCUCAUGACUUCCUAAUGUUUAGUCUAUUUUUUCCAAUAGUGUGUUAUGGGGAUGAUCCAUUGCCCAUUAUGAACGAAGGGGUGAUUCCAAAUUCUCUCCAUAGUCCCACUUUUAUCAUACGACUUUCAAACGUGGAUCAAACUUUAGGUAUUUGUGUAAUGAUGUCAACCAUAUAUCGUGUCAUUUCAUUGAGGUUUUAAGUCUUAUUUGUAGUCGUUUGUCAAAAUUCUAGAAGCUUUUUUGUGACGGUAUUGUGUGAUUAUAUUAUAACAUCUAGAGGUAUAAUAAUUUGUGUUUGAAGUCAAGCAUAUAGAUACAUACACAAACAACUUCUCUAACUUCAUAAUAUUGGACAAAAGUAUAUAUCUAAAAGUGGUAUUUGCAAAGUAUAUAGAGAACAACCCACUAAUGAUACAAAAAGUAUUUUCAAAUUAGACGAUAAGAGUUCAAGAUGAAGGAAUCAUCAAAGUACGUUUAUCGAGAUCAAAAAACUUACGAUAUACUAAAAUAAUUUCUUAUAUAUAUAUAACAUGAGUGGAAAAUGUAUAAAUCGUUAGAAAAAUUUCUCAUUUUAUUCUCUAAUAUUAUGCAUAGUUUUUUGUUUUAAGCUUUGUGAAGACCCAUAAAAUGUAUUACAUAUACUUAAACACAUGGUUGGAUUGACAAAAAAAAAAAGAUGUUUUAAAUAAAUCAUUUUCAUCCAAACACUUUGUAUAACAACUUAGUUAUACUUAAUUACAUUCUUGAAGACAAAUUUGUUAAGUCUGACAUAAUCAAAGUGGAUGGUUGAUAUCUAUAGUUUCAAAAAGAAAAAUAAAUAGCAAAGAGAAAGUACUUGUGAAUUAAAUCAAAGCAAUGAGAAUGGUUAAUUAAGUAAACCAAUAUCCACAAAAGGUAAAAGACCAAGUUCAUUUCCCUUUCAAUGUUUACAAUAUUUUACACCCAAUUCUUUUAAUUUGAUAAAAAGGAAUUCAAAUGUCAAAAAGGAUAGUCAAGAAUAUUUUAGCUUUAAUGUUCCCUCAAGAUUAGGUAAGUUUGGCCAAAAGAUAUUGGAAGAGAGAGAGAGAGAGAGAGAUAUCCAAAGCCACAAAAAGACAAAUAAAUGAGCAAAAUACACAAACUAUUCAAAAUAAUAUUUUUUUAUUUUCUUCUUCUCUUUAAAAAUGAAGAAAAUGAACUUUGAACUUAAUCUUGUCGGCUUCUUCAAUACUUUAAUUUGAAAUUACAAUAUUAUUUCUUUUUAAAACAACUAUUAAUUAAUAAUCUUUUGUUAGAGACUUUUAUCUAAAGAAAAUAAAAUCUUUUAUUGGACUUUGUUACAUUCCUUACUUUGUACCCAACAAUUGUUUGAAGAUAAUAAACUAAUAGAAAUGUAAACAAAAAUUCUUACAUUGAUCCAAGAAAAAAGUGAUCGUGGAUAUAUAUAAGCAAUUAUUUGUAUUGAUAAGACUUCUACAUAUGGUCAUGAUUUGUGAAGUUGAAUGUAGGUAAGAAAAGGAAUGUAUAUAUAUAUUUCACAAGUUUUUUCCCUAGGUAGCCACUUUAGGUCAUUUUUAAAUGGGUACUAUUGGUAUAAAUUUUUAAGAUAUCGAUCCUUUAUUUUUUUAGUUUUAGUAUACAUUCAAGUUUUAAUUCCUUGAUCAAAGUGAGCUUAGUUUAACGGUAAUUGAUAUGACUUUCUAUUUUAGAGAUGUGAGACGUUCGAAUCUCUCAACCUUCAAUUGUUGUACUAAAAAAAGUUUCAAUUACUUGUAUAUAUUUCACCUCAAGCUUUAAUAAUUAUUUUUAUUCAUUUAGUAGUAAUUAAAACUUUAAAGGGAGAGAUUAUAAAAAGAAAAUUGAUAGGGAUUGAUUUAUUUUGAUGCAUUGUGAUAAAUUGAAUUAAUAUUUUUAUCGACGAAUUGUAAGUAACGCCCUCGAACAAAAUUUGUAGAUCCAACAACUGGCUCGAUUAUAGUCCCAUUUUGAAGUUAGGUUUCACGCAAUAACAUUUGCAUAUAUUCUAAUAUACUCCUCGUUGAAACUCAUGGAGAGAUAAUCAUUUUUACCUCAUGAUAUGCUCAUAUUUUCUUUGUCAACUCAUCAACGUGGAAUCCAUAUCUCUAUGCAUAUUGUAUAAUUAACUUACCAAUUAUACAUUUCAUUCUUCACACACACGCACACUAAAAAGAAAUCCAAUGUAAUUUUAUUUCCAUGCUACUAUUCUAGGCAACUUUUAAGUAGUUAGUCAAUACUUAAUUAGCGGUAAUUUGAUAUGAUCUUCCUUCUAUCUAUUGUACUAAAACGCAAACUUUUAGAUGGUUAAAAGUUGUUAAGUGUUUAUUGUGAAUUUUUUGGUCAAAUUUUGGUUGAAACAACACUUCAUAUAUUUUAUAUAUGUGUGUGAUCUAACUGUUGGGUUGGCCAUGCCCAUGCUCUAGAUGAACAUUAUUUAUAAUGAGCCCUCAGUCCAUGUAAUAUUCCUCCAAUUAAAUAUUAUAAACAUGAUGAGAAAAGGGAAAAUAAUAAUAAUCCAAGACAAAAUUAAAUGAGGUUUAAUAAUUAACUAAGAUUAUAUAUUGGAAAUUCAAAUAUCAUCUAAACUCAAAUACAUCUCAUCCAAAUAAGAAAGUUCACUUUCAUCAUCAUCAUCAUCUUCCUCAUAACAAAACAUACUUCUUCCAAUAAUAUUAUUGUUUUCUUUUGCUUCAAAUACUCUACAUACAACCCAUAUUCCAAACUCCUGUUCAAAUCACAACACAUACAAUCACCUUAAUAAAUCAACCCAACAAUAAUGUUUAAAUUAAAUAACCUAACAAUUCGAACAAUCUAGACUAUCCAAUCUAAAUUGUAUAGACUAGGUUAGGGUAACCCAAAAUUUAGAAAAUGUAACCAACAACUCACUCUAAUCUAACUCGAAUUUUAAAGAUUUGGUUCGAUUGGGUUGAAGAUACAAUCAUUUUGGGUUGCCAAUUUGGUCCAAAAACUUUCCAUAAUCCAACUCAAUCAACCCAUUUACCUUCACCUAAUUAAUCUCUAUACACAAUUAUAAAAUAUACCAUCAUUCAACCACUACUACAUAGUUUUAUGUUUUUCUCUAUUUAAUUUAAUUAUGCUCUUAGGAAAAUACAUACACUAGUUAAGUUUUUUUUCUUGAUAUGGAUUGUAUAGUUAUAUAAUCUUGUAUCUAUUCAGUAUUUGAACUUUUGGAUUACAAUUUAUGUGAACCUCCAACUUUAUCAAAUAGGUUAUUGAUUUUCUUUCAACUAUUUUUAUAAUUUACAUACCUUAGUGAUCGUAAAACAUUAAUAAAGCUUGAAGUCUAGAUUUGUUAUUAUUUUUAAAAAAUUUAAUAUGUCGUGAACUUAUUAAAUACAAAAUCUAAAGUUUAAAGACACAUUUAAUAUUUAGGAACCCUUUUACCAAACUUUAAAAGUUUAAGAGAUAAAUUUGUAAAUGAAUCUGCAUCCAAAUUAUCUAAAUACUUUUUUGGUUUUUUAAGCUUUUAAAUAUGAUUUUCAUUUUGGUCCUUAAAAUUUCUACUUCCGUUCCUAAGCUAUAAAUUUAGUUUUUAUUUGGUGAUAAUACUUAUCUAAAUUAAAAUUUAAAAAGUUACAUUUUGCCAUUGUGUUUGAGUUUUUAUUUCCAUUUAGUCUAUAAGCUUUAUAGUUUUAUACUUUUACUUAAGAUAGUAAAAAGACCAUAGUACCAAAACUAGUAAUUUCACAUAUAUUUUUUUAUUUAAUAAAAAAUUAAGUACUAAGUGCCAACUAGAAUGAACAUAUACUUCAUUUAGCAAAAAGUUUGUACUACAAAUUUCAAGAUUAGAACUUUAUUGAUUAUUCACUCCACGUAUUAUUUUUCUAGAAAAACACCCGCCAUACCAAUUACUUUGUCUGAUUUUGAGGGGAAAACAUGGUGAUCGAAUCUAUAACGAAAUGAAAAAGUGUAAAAUGAAAGAAAACGAAAAACGAGAAACAAGGAAAAAUAGUGAAAAUGUAAGAUUCUUGAGUUGUUUCACUUACUGAUUUUGUUUGUGAUAGAUUAUUGUUGUUGUUUUGAGAUGGAUGAGUAUGAUCAUGAGUGUUCAAAAGGUAGUUGUAAAUGUGAUACUCUUGCAUGACCCAACUUGUUUGAAUGGGUGUUGGUGAUUCAUCAUCUUCUUCUUGAUCACCAACAAAGAAAAUAUGAUAUUUUUUGAUACCCACUUCAUCCCCAUUGGCACCGCAAAAGAUUGGUUCAUCCAUUAAAACAUCUUUCCAAUAUCCACUCUCUGUUGCUCUACUUUCUCCCACUCUGCUGAAAAAGUAAUGAAUGUCCCCAUUUGACAGUGUUUUACCUGUGAAACACAAUAAAAUUUUAACUUUAAAAUAUGUGUUUUGGUUGUUUCAAUUUGGUUCAUAUAGAUACAAAAUUUAUAAAUAUAGAACUUUUACUUUUCACUUAGUAUUAUUGCUCUCGAAUUUGAAACUUAAAUGAAAACUAAAACAAAAACUCAAGAAACAAAAACAUUUUAAGUUCUAAUGAAGUCUACAAGUUUUAGAGAAGAUAAAACAAACUAGAAUCAAUAUUUACUUUAAAGGAAAACGUAAAAUAACACACACAUAUAUAUAUAAAUUUUAAAAGCAAGAUCUUAUGCUCUUCCAAUGCUCCUCAUCAAUCUAACUUAAAAGCUAGCUUGACUUCUUGUACCUACUGCAUGCAUAUAUAGCUAGCUAUAUUGUUCUUCGCAUAAUAAGAGAAAAGAUAGAGGGGGGGAGAGAGAGAGAGAGAGAGAGAUUAUGUAUAUAUUAUAUUAUACCAUGGAAUUGCCAAGGGUUAUAGAGAUGAAGCUGAAGAUGAGGAAUAAUAAUGGAAUUGGAAAAACGAUGAUGAGAGUUAGCUUUGUGAUAGAGAAAGUGAAGCACAAGGUCUUCAUCAGUUGGGCAGAAUCUAAGACCAGGAGGCAACAGAUUUAAGCUAUUAUUUCCACUUAUCCCACCUUCAUCCAUAUUAACAAACUCAAUCAUAAUAAUAUAAAUAACAAAUACACAAUAAUAGUAUUCUUUUCUUUUUUCUUUUUGAGGAGGUAACUAGGUUAAGGCCUAGUAGGUUUUAAUGGAGAAACUUUGCACCACAUUUGGCCUAUUUAUAUAUAGAAAUUAAAUGCAUAUAUGAAAUUAAAUUAAAUAUAUAUUUAAGAAGAGGAUAAUAUUAGUGCAUAUAUGUGUUUUGUUUCAUUGAUUUAAUAAAGGCAUUUUUUCCCAACACCAUGCUUCCUUGACCCACACUUUUGGAAUGAAAACAAAAUCAAAAGUAACUUUUUCUUUUGCUUUGUUUUUAUUGUAAAAGAGACACAAAAAGAAAAAUAAAGAAAACAGUAACUACUACUUUAUAUGGUCUACUAACACCAACUUGUGAUCAUAAACUUUAGGUUUAGCUUACAUUUAUAUUUUAUUUAUUAGGUAUAUGGUGCUAUAAGAUAAUGUUUAAGUUAAUGAUGGAAAAUUAUUUUCAACCAAAAGAUGAAAUUUUCAGUACUUUUUUGGGGGAGAAGUGACAAAGCAAUAGCAAUUAAAUGUUGUAAUUUUGUUUUAUUUAUAGAAGCAAUGAAUUAAUGGUAUUUAGUGAGAGUGAAAUGGUGUGGAUUGCAAAUGGAUGAAAUGAUAAAUGGGUAAUCAAUCAAAUCUGAACAUAGUGGGUGUCGUUGUUUGAUGAACUACUGCCUAAAUCAUUUUGUUUAAUCUAAUGCAUAAUUACGUUUAAAUUAUUCCCUCUCUUUGAUUAUUGACUUCACCAAUAUUUCUACCAAACAAAAAUAGAAGAUGAGAUGUAUUAAUCCACUAAAUGUUCCUUUGGAUUUUAAAGUCUCUAUCUAGUACAAUAAUAAUGACAAUUAUAUAUGUAGAGAGAAGAGUCACACCCUAACAAUUUAAUCGUGAAAGAAAUUAUUAACAUUUUGGGAUAGAUUUGAAUAAUGUUAAAUAUAAUCAUCAAUAUUGAUCCAAAAACUUAAGUUAAUAAGUGCACGUUCUAACGUUCAACAUUAUUAAUAUGAAUUCCUUAGGGUUGCUUGCUCAUGAACAUUUUGUAGUAAAGGAUCUUUCCAAAGAAAAAAAGAUUUGAGAGGUGUGAGAAUUGAUUAUAUAUUAAAGAUGAAAGACAAUUAUCAUAUAUUAAAAAUACUUAGAAUAUUGAUUGAUUUACAUAGUAAAGACAAGAUUAUCAAGGUAUUAAAACACUAAUAUAUACCUUCAAAAUUCCCAAUAAAUCAUACCAAUAUACACAAACAAACAGGAUGAAACGUUAGUUGACUCACCAAUUGAUCAAAAACUACUUUAAGUUUUUUUUAAAAAAAUAAGUAACAACAAAAAUAAAUAUAAAAAUUAGUAUAUUAUUAGAUUAAAAUACUUUGUGAAAGGGAUCUAAUAAUAAGUGGUGACAAAUAUAUUAUUUUAUGGAGUGAUGUAGAAUCAAAUCUAAUGAAGCCCUUAAAAUUAAUAAACACUCACGAGAUCGAUCAUUCAUUGUUUAUAAAAAAUACAUCAUCAUUGUUUAUAUGAAAGCAACUUCUUUCUAUUAUUUUUUAUUCUCCCAUCUCAUCAUUUUGUUGGAUGGGAUCUUAACACAUAUAUACAACAGAUUCUGCCAAUUAGAAUAUCUAUAUAGUUCUUUGAAAACAAAACAUAUAAUUCUAAUCCAAUAUAGUUGACAGACAAGUUUUACCACUCCAACACAAUUUUUUAUAUUAGAAACUUUGGUAACACUCUACUCCCUGUUAUGAUCACUUUCCUACAUAGGAGAAUAAACAUGUAUUUAUGCGUGCCAUUUAGUUGCAUUCAAAUUUUCUCGUGAUAGUUGUUCUUUAUUUUAGAAAUUCAAUUGUCCUAUACAUUGAAAUAGUUUAUAGAAAUGAUGGGUUUCAAUAUGCCUUUGGUUUCAAAUCAUCCUAAUUAGAAACACUUUUAUAAGUUUGAAUGUGCUAAUUAAUUCUUGUUAAAUUCUCUUUUGUAAUUUUAGUUUUGAGAGGUGAGAUUAAAAGGUGUGAGUAAUACUAAAGUUUUGAGAGAGUGUUCUUGUAAUUGAGAUUGGAAAAAGAACUAUUUAUAUUAUGUGUGAUAUAUUAUAACAAUUUUCACACGGUAAACUUCUUUUUAGUUAGUAGGUCAUGGUUUUUUUCUAGGUUAAGAGAUUUUCGUGUAAGCCUUGUGUUUUCUAUUAUUUUCUUUUAAUUUCUAUAUCAUCUUUCUACUUAUUUUGUCAAAGAGAUGAUAGAUUUUUUUUUUCUUCUAACAAUUGGUAUUUCAUAGCCUUAAAUUCAUAGUUUCUUGAAUGUUUGAGUAUACGUUUUAUAGUUACCGCACUAUUUAUAUACUUUCAUGUCACUAUUUAUAUACUUUCAUGUUAGAAAAUCGUAAACACUAAACAUUAAACGUAUUAUGAAUAUUGUGAAUUGGUUCACGCUACUUAUAAAUUAUUUAGAAGUGCAGCAAAUAUACGUUAAUUAGGUUUAUAAGGUGAAUAUGAAAUUUGUCAGUAUAGAAAUGAACUCAACUAAGGAGAACAACUUCAACUUGUACUGAUCAUAAUUGUAUUAUGAAUUAUACAUGAGAAUAAAGAGUGGUAAGUGCAUUGGCCUAAUAUUAUUAUGCAUGCUUUGGUUUAUCAAAAGCCAUAUCAUUACGUUACAACUCAUUAGGCUAUUCAAAAUGAUUCCCAUUUAUUGUUUUAGUUGAGAGGUCAUAUCUAAAAGCAUUUUGAAGGAAUAAUCUCAACCACAAAAGCGAAGCCACUUUUGUGCUUAUCCCAAUACAAAAGGAAAGAAAAACACUUUGCAAUUGCAAUUGAGUUGCAACCCAACUCUUUUCCCAAUAUUAUCUUAUUUAUUUAUUAUUAUUAAUUAGUUAAGUUUGAAUGCAACUUGUUUGUAGUUGCAAACAAAUACUAUAUUAUUUGGCAUUUGUUAUAUAUUUGUUUUGAUAAUCAUUUAAACUAUUAGAACACAGUUCUAUACAACUAAUAAGUGAUGAUCACCAUUAGACAUUUAGGAGAGAUUUGUAGUGCGAAAGUUUAAGAACCUAUAGUUUAAAAAUGGUAAUGUAUAGGAAAUCUACAAUUCUGGAGAUAACUAGACAUAGUAAAAAAUUUAAGAAUCUCUAGUUCCUUUACAAUUAUCAUGAUUAUAUGUAUAUCUAAUCAUCCAAAUUAGUUCUAGAGUAGUACUUAGCUUCAAUGUAUAACUAGUAUUAGUCCACGUGAUAUAGCAUUAGAUCAAUAGUUUAGUGCUUUUUCAAAGAAAUUAAAAAUGGUUGAUAAGAGACGAAUAAAUUGAUAGAUAAUCAUAACUAUUAAUUUUAUUUCUUGCUCCUUUUUUCUAACCACCACUCACUUUAAAAAUUGACAUAUGUUUCUUUUUCGAUAUAGACAAGGCAUUAUUAGUUCAAUCUAUAUAUUUAAGUUAGCAUGGUUUAUUCUUAACUCAAUCAUAUAAACAUGGAAAUAAUCUUUCACCCUAUACUUACCUAGAAAUUUAAUUCAUAUUAGUACCUAUAAUAUAGGUAUUUCAAAAUCAAUAAAGGGAAGAAUAAUGAAUUGAAAAUCCCAUCAUUAGUUCAUCUUGUUUUCAAUCCUUACAUAAAAUUGACACAAUAUCCUAGCAUGCAUUUAAUCUUUCUUAUUGAUUUUAAAAGUCUAAUUUAUUUUAUAACAUUUAUAAAAACUUUUAGACUUAAUCAAUCAUUUUAUCAAUAUAUAACCUUAUAAAAACAUUCAAUUAAUAUGGAUUUUAAUUUAUUUAACUUUAAUUAAAUCAUAUUUAAUUUUAAUUUAAUUAAAUCAUAUUUAAUUAAAUUAAAUCAAACAAUAACUAAUUAAUUUGAUUAAAUCAUAUUUAAUCAAGAAUAACUUAAUUAAUUAAUCAUAUUAAUUAAUUUCCAUAUUAAUCAAUUAACAUGCAUACAAUACAAUAUAACAUUUAUAUUAUACAUUUUAAUGCAUGAACAUGUUAACCUAUGGUGGGAUUUUAAAUCUAUAUGACAUUCAAAAUGCACAUACAAAUUUAAAGUAAUUUAAUCAUACAUCACAUGCAUAAAUAAAAAAACACCCUAAAAUGGACUGAUUUUUGGCUCCUAAAUUAAGUUAAGUACUAAAUUAUUACAUAAUUAAUUUGGUGUAGUACAGAACCACUCCCAAAAACUUCGAACCGGCUGAAAAACUAACCGAAACCCCUUGAACCGGCCCAAAAACCAAAUUUAUUGGCUUGAACCGGCCCAAUUAACUAAACAGGCCCAGGCGCACACGGGUCGGGCGCAGGCGGGCGCGGCGGGACAGGCAGGAGGGCGCGCGGCGCAGGAGGGCGCACGGGCGCAUGCGGGCGCGCGGCACAGGCGGGCGCGCGGGCACAGGCGGGCGCAGGAGGGGCGCGCGGCGCGUGGGACGCAGGCGGGUCGCGCAUCGGGUCAUGACCGGGUUUUCGGGUCUGUGACCUUCUUUUCUUCAUUUUUUUUCAAUUCUCUCACCCGGUUGAACCCGUUACAGCCUAACUUCAACUCUAAUGACUUUUUUAGUUUUUAAAAAAUUACAAACACUUUGCAACAAUAAAAAUAAGCCAUUAACAAGGCUAAUUACAAUAAUUAGAACAAAAACACUUAAUCUAGAGCCAAAUUCAUAAUAUAUCCAUUUUAGUUCAAACCAAAAUUUAUCUAAUAAAUAUGAACCCACCACAUACAAUUGGGUAAAAAUGAAGCAUGCUCUGAAACCACAUGUACCAACUUGAUCACCACAAGUCCCAACUUGAUCACCACAAGUCCCAACUUGAUCAUUGAUGGUACUUGUGGUGAUCAAUGAUCAAGUUGGGACUUGUGGUGAUCAAGUUGGGACUUGUGGUGAUCAAGUUGGGACAUGUGGUUUCAAAGCAUGCUUCAUUUUUACCCAAUUGCAUGUGGUGGGUUCAUAUUUAUUAGAUAAAUUUUGGUUUGAAAGUAAUGGAGAUAAAAUGGGAUUGGAAGGUUUCUUUUUUCUUUUGUUGAGAUGAUGAAAAUGAUAAAAGAGGCAAAAGUUCUUCAACAUUUGAAAACACCUCUAUUUAUAACCUAAUUACAUGCAAAAAUGCAUGUAAUUCAUUUGCCAAAUCUCAACACCUAAUGUUCCACUAACAAUUAGUGGGCUAGGUGUCUAUAUCUCAUAUAGCCACAUAUCCCACUAAGAGUUAGUGGGAUUAUCCAACAAAAUGUUGGAUUUUUCCACUAACUUAGUCCAAGGGUAAAAUGGUCAUUAGAUAUUUCUAGUCAAAAGUCAAACUUUGACUUUUCUAAGUCAAAAGUCAAUAUUUUGACUUUUUACCAUUUUGUCCGUCUUGACUAAUUCCAACCUCCCGAGCAUGAAUCCGCAUUCAUUUUUCCAAAAUUCAAAUCACAUUUGAAUAUAAGGCCGGUCAAAGUUUGACCUUUUCAAAGUCAAAAGUCAACAUUUUGACUUUUUACUAUUUUUGACCAAUUCCAUCAAUUCUGAGCUUCUUAGUAUGAAUCCGCAUUCAUACUUAUAGUAUGUAAAACAUAAAGCUCUAUUUCUAAUUAGAAGACCGACGACUAUAUCACUAUAUUUGUCGGUUUCCCUUUCUUCUCCCAAUUCGAAACAAUUCGAGCUUAUUUCAUCACACUGUUCUAAGUUUAAUCCAUAUGAGCUAGCAGAGGAACCUAAUGGACCUAUAGAUCAUGGGCUCCAACGAUUCAAGAUUAACUAGCUAAACUCUUUUAAACCGAGUUAAUCAACAUUCGUUAACUAACGGGUCAUUCCACUAAAGUCCCGUAGUUGCACUCCCCUCACUAUAGAUAUAUUUGUGUCCAUUUGAUAAAACCAUAAUCAGUAAGUUAAUCCUUCACAGGUUGCUCGUAACCUUGGCUGGGUCAAAAUACCGUUUUACCCCCAAGAUUACAUCUUGCUCCUUAAGUCCCACUAAUCCACUAUUGAACAAUUGGUUUAAGGUUCAACCUAUAAACUUAAUCCCUCUCGGGCCAAUGAGAGGGUGGGGCCCCUUGUUCAAGACUUGGAUUCAGUGCUUAAGAGAGCAACCUAUCUACUAACCCUAAAGCGGGUAGGAGUGAAUUCCAUCUUGUACCCUAUGUUCCCAGCUAUCCACCGAUCUUACCCCUGAAAUGGGAGGCUUAUUGGGCCAACGCUGAUGAGCUGCCCUCACCUAUGCAGAUCUAAGGAUAAUCUCGUGUGAACAGGAGUUCAUAGUUAACUCAGGAUUAAGACUAAGUUACCUAGGUCAUCAAUAAUUGAGAUAGUCAGUUUUAAACAGUAAACGGUGUUAUAACGUAAAAAUGACUAAUUCAUGGUUCAGUCUUAUGUAAACAUUUUACAUAGGAUGCCCCCACUUUCAUGUCUCUACAUGAACGAUUAGGAUCACCUCGUUUGUACUACAAAGUGGGCCGCAUCCAUAGUUUCUCUAAAUAAGGCGCCCAACCUUUAUUUCAUAUACUAUAGACUAUUUAGGCUAUAUACUCGAACUUGAUCCACGUUUAUGUUUACACAUAAAGUUCAAGUUUAUUCAAAAAAUAGCCUUGGAACUUGAUUUAUUGGAUUUAAGAUUAUAAUAUUUAAUUUCUCAAUAACAACUUUAUUGAACAGAAUAUGAUUUACAAACUACGAGUUUUAGGACAAAAAAUUCCAACACUAAAGAGGUGCAAGAUAAAAAUAAAACAAUUAAACCCUUCAAAAACAAGUUUUGGGAUAAAAAAAAUGAGUAUGUGGCAUCACUGGUCACUUUUUGUGGAAAUUUUUUUCAAUAUUAUUCAAAAUGAGACUAUCUAGUAGUCAGAUUUGAAUUUUCGAUACUUUUCACAUUGUUCUAAAUUGGGUCGUUUCUUUGUAAGCUAUAGCAUGGACAUUUUUAGAACCGUUUUGGGUGCUACCAUAAUACAUCACUAAGGAGCACCAGUCUCGACCAUUAUGCAAUUUUCUGUGUCAUAGAGUAAUGCAAAAGAUAGGAUGUCGCACUUAUCAACCCACAAUCAUUGAGUUAAAGAGGUGCAAGAUAAAAACAAAAAAAAAAAUUAAAAUAAACGCUUCGAAGACAAGUUUUGGGACAAAAAUAAAACAUGAGUCUUAGAGCAUCAUGGAUCAGGUUUUAGUUUUUGUGGGGAAAAAAACUUUAAUAUUACUCAAAAUGACACAAUCUAGUAGUUAGAUGUGAAUUUUCGAAACUUUUUAACAUUGUUCUAAAUUGGGUCGAUCCCAAUUAAUUUUCUACUUUGUAACAAUGUUUCAUUUAUGUCAAUGGUUAGGUUGGAACAAGAUAUAAGCGUUAGGUAUGAAAACGGGUCAUGUUUGUUUAUUUUUCUAGAAAAAAAAAAUUGACAUAAUCCAACUCAAAUUUGGUUUCACAAAGAAGUUGUUCGACUUGACUCGGAAAAAAAUUAGAAACAAAGAGGAAGACCUUGAACAACCUAAAUUUGAUAGAAUUUAGGUAAUGAAAAUGAUUUGAAGAUCCAUGAAUGUGAAGGGCAGCUCAAUUAGAUAUGAAGUACAUAAUGAUCAUGUUGAUUAUUAUUGCAUGCAUUUAGGUUUGAAAACCAUGAAGUAUUGAGAAAACAUAAAAGUGAAAUUCAAAGUUUAAUUUGGAUGAUUGGAUGUUUUUGUUGAAUAUGAUUUGGGAUAGACACUAUUUUUCCACCUCUCUUAAUUCAUCAUUCGCCAAAUGGCUACACAAUUAUAUACAUCCAAUAUAUAAGAGAUAUAUAAUGAUGAACAAUGUUUCAACUUUAAUUAAAGUGAUGGAAUCAUGGAAAUAUAUGUAAGAACGAUGAGUUCGCAUGCCAAAUUGCCAUAAACCACUCCAUCUUCAUUGAUUUCAUAAGUUAUAUGAUAACCUUUUCUUUUUCUGUUUUUCAUUUUUUACUAUAGAUUUUUUAAAUUAUUAAUUUCAUUUUUCGUUUUCAAUUUUUGAAAAGAAUAAACAUUAGUAAGAUUGAAGAUAAACCCAAAUAAACAUUGGCCCAACAUAAGAUAAAACCCCAUUAUUAGCAAAAUGGGCUCAUAUGGGCUGUAAGCUUAUAAGGGUAACUACCCACGUGGGUCAUGUCUAUCGUGCGGUCAGCCGUCAACUCCAUAAUGGGUUGGAAUCUUUUUGGAUCUGGGCUAAUUGGGCCAAUUGGGUUUGCUCCAUUUAUCUUUAAAGCUAUGUUUGCUCCAUUUGAGUCUUGCACUCAUCCGUAUAACUCCAAAAGGCACUUGAGGCUUCUAAAGCUAGCUAGAUUUUCUCUAUCAAUAAACAAACUUGAAGACAAAGUUAGUAAAUUGGAUUAAGUGAUUUUAGUUUCAUUAGAGUGACCUAAAGUAAAAAAGUAGGAGAUGAGAUCUUCUGGUUUAGGGAUACACAGAGUCGUCCUAAGAUUGAUUUUGUGGAGUGAGUGGGCAUCCCAUUGGGUUUAACCAAACAACAUCUAGAGAUGUGAGAAAGGGUUGAAAUAGUUGGAUGGAAGAAAGAGAGAUGAAUGGAAAGGAAGUAAGUAUUCACGGGGUAACAAAAGUUUGAUAUUAUUAAAAAAGAAAAAGAAAACAAAGAGUUGAAAACAUGGAAAUGAGUUGUAAGGAAGGAGUGAUGGAAAAGUUUGGUUGGGUACCCAUUGACCACAAAACAAUGGUUCACGGGUGCCUUUACACUCUCUCACUACAUCCUUUUUUUAAUCACACAUUCCAACAAACACUAAGGCCAUUUUUCUUUUAACAAACAUAUACAAUUUACAUUAUUGAUAUCUUUUCAAUAUUUAACACAAUAUUAUAUAUAUAUAUAUAUGAAAAUUUGUAUGGAUGAAAAAUGAAUCAUAACGAAAUCAAUUUAUUUAACUAUUUUAAAAAAAACAUUAAUUUCAAAUAAAAACAAAGGAAAGAAAAUUGAUGUAUAAUUUCCACACAUAAAUAGUUUUAGGGCAAAGGACAAAAUAGAAAUAGGUAACUUUUGAGGACAACCAAGCAAUUUUUGAAAAAGUGAAGAAGAGCUGAAUCUUCUCUUUUGCUCUCAUCCACAAAAAAGAUUUGCCCAUUUUUUUCAUCUAUUUUUCCUUCAAUUUUAACCUUUUGUUUGAAUAGGAAUUAAUUCUCCACCACACAAAAUAAUGAAAAGCUCAUAAAUCCAAAUGCCUUUCUUACAAAAAUAUAAUAACACUAAUCACCCUUCAAUUUUUGUGGUCCACUAGUUUUGCAUGUAAAUCCAAAUCUUUGGACCCAUGGGGUGGAAAAAUUGAAUAAAUAUCUAAAUUUUUAACAUACUUUAUACUAAAUAUCAAUUCAUACAAAAAUAGAUUAUAAAUGUAAAGGAGUACUGUAUAGAAUAGAGAAACACCUCAAAUUAACUACAUAAUUUUAAUUAACAUUUAAGUUAACUAUACAUUAUUGUUUACUACAUGUAACAUUAAUACAUAAUAGAGAGAAAGUUUACCAAAAGAAUGUAAAUUGAACUUAUGGGUUCACUUGCAUGGUAAAAUUAGUAGUUACAAAGUAAAAAUGUUAUUAUUAUCAUCCCUAUUAAUAAACCUUUCUUGUUGGCUAAAAUAAUAACAAAGACAUGAUUGAGUAUUAAUUUAGGAAACCACAUAAUAAAAGUGCUAAGAAAUAGAAGGGAUAUGUUAUAUUACUUUAUAGUAUUGAAUCAAUUAUAAAGGUGAAUGACAAAAAAUAAUGGAGUUAGAUUAGAGUAAUGUAUGGUCAUAUGUACUUAAUAAUUAAUUAUUCUUUUACAUUAUGUCAUGUUUUUAUUUAUUUAUUUAUUUUUUUUUGGUCCAAUUCAUCUAAUUAUCAAUACAUUAAACUUAAUUAUUCAAGUUCCUUUUGACAUUAAAACUCAUCAUUUUAACUCUAUGAAAGGAUUUGGAUGAAAUGUGCAGUUGUAAGAUUCCUUACCAUAUCAAUUAGCUAUUUGUAUUUUUAAUUUGAUAGGAUGAUGUAAUUAUCAUUCUACUACAUAAUAAUACAAUUGAAUGAAGAUUGAUACAAACAAAAAGUAGUUGCAAAUAUAGCAAUCAAACCUAAACAAUAACUCAUCAUCUUUCAGUCUCUAAUAAGUUUGAAGUAGUAAGAAAAAAGAAAAGAAAUGAAAUGAAAAAACAAAACACUAAGAAUAAUUAUAUUUAAAGAAGAGAUAGAAUGCCAAUGUUGGCAUAUUGAGAGAGAGAGAGAGAAUGAGAAUGUGAAGAAAACAGUGUGUGUGUGUGUGUGUGUUUAAGGGCUUAGAAAGAAAGCAGUGAGCUGAGUUAGUAAGAAAAACCCAAAUCAGAAGAAGAUAACUGAAAUGAAGAAGCAAGAAGAAGAACAACAUCAAGAACAAGAAGGAUGCGACAUUGAAGCCAUAGGAAUCACCUACAAGAUUCAAAUCCAUAACUCCAAAUCCCCAUUUCUCAACUUCUUCUCCACCUCAAAACCCUCCCUCCGCCAUCGCCAUGUCCUUUCCGACGUCAAUUGCCAAGCCAAAUCCUCCCAAAUCCUUGCCAUUGUCGGCCCCAGCGGUGCCGGAAAAUCCACUCUCCUCCAAAUCCUCGCCGGCAAAACCACCCCUCACGGCGGCUCCCUCCUUCUCAACCACCUCGCCGUCGACCCUUCCUAUAUCAACCGAAUCUCCGGCUACGUCCCUCAAAAAGACUCCCUUUUCCCUCUCCUCACUGUCGAAGAAACUCUGACCUUCACCGCCCGCCUCCGUCUCUCCCUCCCUUCUGCCGUCCUCACCGCCAAGGUUACUUCUCUGAUCGACGAACUCGGUCUGACCCAUGUCGCCCGUUCCCGAGUCGGCGACGACCGAGUCCGUGGAAUCUCUGGCGGCGAGCGGCGGCGGGUUUCAAUCGGCGUGGAAGUGAUUCACGACCCCAAAGUUCUUAUUCUUGACGAACCCACUUCCGGUCUCGACAGCACUUCCGCUUUUCAGAUCAUCGACAUGCUGAAAACAACCAUGGCUGAAGCUCAGCGAAGAACCAUCAUUCUUAGCAUCCAUCAACCUGGAUUCAGAAUCGUGAAGCUUUUCGAUUCCAUUCUUCUUCUUUCCAAUGGCUCUGUUUUACACCAUGGCUCUGUCGAACAUCUCGGACUCAACCUCACUCUAAUCGGCCUUCAACCUCCUCUUCAUCUCAACAUUCUCGAAUUCGCCAUUGAAUCCAUCGAAACAAUCCAACAAACCCCAAAUCAAACCCAAUUGUUAAUCCCUCACUCCCAAUUAAAACCCCCUAAAUUCACCCUGCAACAGCUAUUUCAACAAUCCAAAGUCAUCGACGAGGACACCAUCAAAAUCGGAAUCCACAAAUCAAUCCCUCACCAUUUCGCCAAUUCCCCAUUCAAAGAAACGGCCAUCCUCAUGCACAGAUUCUCCAAGAACAUAAUCAGAACAAAGGAGCUUUUCGGUUGCAGAACAGUACAAAUGUUGGUAACAGGGCUUGUUCUUGGUUCAAUUUUCUACAAUCUCAAAUUCGAUUUAAUUGGUGCUGAAGAACGCGUGGGGUUAUUCGCCUUCAUUCUCACAUUCCUAUUAACAACCUCGAUCGAAGCCCUCCCAAUUUUCUUACAAGAAAGAGAGAUUCUAAUGAAAGAAACCUCCUCAGGUAGUUACAGAGUAUCCUCAUACGCCAUAGCCAACGGAUUAGUAUACCUUCCGUUUCUACUAAUCUUAGCAAUUCUGUUCUCAAUUCCAUUAUACUGGCUAGUGGGGCUUAACAGAAACAUAAUAGCGUUUCUUCAUUUCAUGCUGUUGAUAUGGCUGAUUCUAUACACAGCAAAUUCAGUGGUGGUUUGUUUCAGUGCAUUAGUGCCAAAUUUCAUAGUGGGGAACUCAGUGAUAUCGGGGGUAAUGGGUUCGUUCUUCCUGUUCUCGGGGUAUUUCAUAUCGAACCAGGAAAUACCAAAGUAUUGGAUAUUUAUGCAUUACAUAUCAGUGUUUAAGUACCCAUUUGAAGGGUUUUUGAUAAAUGAGUUUUCGAGAUCAGGGAAGUGUUUGGAAAUGAUGUUUGGGGAAUGUGUAGUGAGAGGAGAGGAUGUGCUGAAGGAAGAAGGAUACGGGGAAGAAAGUAGGUGGAGAAAUGUAAUGGUAAUGGUGGGGUUUGUUUUGAUCUAUAGAUUUGUUUCUUAUGUUAUUCUUAGAUGUCGAUGCUGCAGGAAAACUGGUUUUGUUUAACAGAAAUGAAGAAGAACGAAGAUGAAGAAGAUGAAGAAGAUUGAAGAUCGAAGAAGAAGAAUAAGGACAAAAAAAAAUCUCUCUCUUCACGAGUUUGGAUUUGAAAGAUGCUCUUAGUUCACGUGGUAGUUUUAAUUGUAGCCAAAGGUUAUACUCACACGUGUUUCUUUGUUCUUUCGGAUUUUUAUUUUUAUUUUUUGCCCUUUCUCUCUAACUAUAUAUAUAUAUAUAAUAUAUGUAAAAUUUUCUUUUAAAUUAACAAUUUGGUGUGUGGUUUGUUCAUCUAAGUUCAAAUUUAUUCAACCAAUUAUUUAGUAGAGAAAAGCUUAAAUGGUGAAAGUGAUUUUAAGUAAUCAAAAUUUCUUCUUACAAAAAUUGUGAAGUAUCAUGAAUAUUUCUUUUACAUAAUUCUUUUCUUCGGUAAAAGAUAAGUUCAGGUUAAACAAAACUAUUUUUUUAUUUAUUUGCCAAAUAUGAUAUUUAACAUAUUAUUACUUAUGAAACACAAAUAAAAGAAAGAAAGAAAAAAAGAUCUGUAAACAUAGAUUCAGAAAUCCAUAUUAAUAGAGAUAAAUCGUGUUAAUACCAUUAAAACAUACAUGCUUUGAAAGAACUAAUUUCAAAUGUUAGUUGUUUUAGGAAAAGAACAAGCAAAACCGAGAACAAUGACUAAGCAAACAAAACGUAGAUCCAAUCACAACUUUCAUAUAUGCGUGAGUAGUGUCACCUCAUUUCAACAACAAUCAUGGUUCAAGAUUUGAUUUAACUAACAAUUCUAUUCAUCACUCCCUAACUAUAGAAUCACCAAUUCAAUCAAUUAUAUCACCAUCAAAGAAAGAAAAAAAAUGGUAAAAAGUAUUUUUAUUUUUGAAUAAUUGAAAUGCUCCAUAGUUUUCAACCUUUAAUAGUUUAUUUAACAAAAAUUGUAAAACAUAGAAAUAUAUUCUAAAUAAAAUAAACGACAUAUAUCUCACAACUCCACCUUAACAAAUUUAACACUUGAAAAUAAACAUCAUGAAUGAAGACUAAAAAUCCAAACUUUCAAAAUUAAUAAAAAAAAUUCUCAAAUUUGAAUGAUUUUUAGAAAAGCUCUACAAAUAGUGUCUCUUCCCAAACUCGGUUAUUCCAAUUCUUUUUCUUUACCGUUAUUUUCCCCCUUCUUCAUCAAUAAUUUAUAAAACACUCUCCCAAAUUCCAUCCCCACCCCAUCCCUUCUUCUAUAAAACAAUGGACAAACACACGGUAACCUCCGAUGAACUUCUCGGAAUCAAAAUCUACACCGAAGAACACGCCAACGGCGGUGGGCGGAAAAGACGAGCAAUGGCAAAAGGAAUGCAAAAAACACGCUCAAAAACCUCAAUGCUAGCUAGUAAACUUCCUUCCAACCGGCACUCUCCUAACCUUCGAAAUGCUUCUGCCGUCGGUCUCCGGCAAGGGGGAGUGCACGCGGGUGAACACGAUGAUGAUAUAUAAACUUCCUCUUGGGCUUAUGCGCUUCUAUCCUGUUUCUUGUUUCACUUCACAGACAGUUUCAAAUUAGGCGUGGACGGGAAAGUUUAUUACGGGAUCGUGACGCGGAGAGGGCUGGCGGUGUUCAAGACGGGGUUGAGUGAGGUGGAAGUGGCGAAGGAGGAGAGGUUAUGGAAAGCUUUCCUUUGAUGGUGGGAAGCAUUUGUAGUGCUUUGUUUUUGGUGUUUCCUAAUACUAUAUAUUAUAUGGUAUUGGUUGUAUGGCUAAUUGACUCUAUUACCCCCCACCUUUUUUUUCUUUUUCUUAAUUGUUAGGAUUUUUUUAAUAAUUAUUAUUCUAAUUUUACUAAACUAUAAUCACCAAUUCAAUCAAUUAUAUCUAUAAAAGAAGAAAAAAAUUGGUUAUAUCUAUAAAAGAAGAAAAAAAAUUGGUUGUAUGGUCGUGUAUGUUGCCAUGGCCUUUGUUAAUUCUUCGAAACUAGAAAGAACAAAGAUCUCACAUAUUCAUACAGGUGGAAAAGAUAGAAACAUGCAUCGUUUUGAUUGAAACUUCUUUUAUUGAUAGAGGACGAAAAAACAAAUACAAGUAGUCAUACACCUAAAAAACGAUCAUCCAAAUCAAAAGAUAUGACCUAGAAACUAUCCAUUUCUCAUGUGUCGUCAAAUUUUGCCUAAUUGCUUCUUAGAGAUAGUUUGUUUUAGCUCCAUUUUCGUCCUUACACUCAAUUGUGCUUCUUUGAUGCUUAAAACCAGUAAAAUAAUCAAACAUAAUAAGAACCUAGAAUUAAGUGAAGCUAGAUAACAUAUUUAUGGUGCUAUCAUUUAUUUACCAUUUCACACUAUAAUUUUAUUAUUUCUAGUUUAUCUUACCAAGCCAGUGUCAAUUUUCUUUUCUCAUUCUCAAUGUUCUUUUAUUUGCUUCAAAAAUUCAAUUUGAAAAAAAAAAAUGUGAGAAAGUUGAGAAUUGAAGAGGAAAAAAAAGAACAAAAUUAGUUUUUUUUUUUGUUUAUUUGAUUAAUUAAUUCAAGAAUGUUGAUUAUGUUUGAGUAUUGACAUGAAAUAUUUAUCGAAAAAUUAGGAAGAAUUUUCAUCAUUUGUUGAAAUCAAAGUAAGGCUCUCUCUAAAAGUGCUUGUAAAAUUUGGUAACAAAAUAGGGUUUAAACCAAAAGAUUAUAAAAGAAGAAAAAAUAAUAAUUACUAAUAAUUAAUUAACAUUGUUGGGGCAGCCCAAAGAACGGUUGUGACCUCCAUUGCAGAAACAGAAGAACAAAGCUCAUUUGGUUGUAAAACCAAUAGAACGAAUCGAAAGCCUCCCUUGAGAGUUAUACAGUUGAAAAUGGAGCUUCAAGAUUUUGCGCCAAUUUUUGGUAAACCCACCAGAGUGGAGUGGGUAAACAGGGGUUCACUUUCUUUGCUCCAAUUUUUGUUCCAUGUUUAUUCUCCAAAUCCUUCGCACCUCAGAUUUCUUGUUACUGAUUUUCAUUCUAACACUUGGGAAUCCACCAAAUCAGCUUUCCAGCUUGAGGAUAUGGUGGGCAUCUUUGAUUUCUCCCUGUACGUCGUCUCUUUGUUGCAUCCUUCUUCUUUGAUUUCUAUUAAUAUGUUGUUCUUGCUUCUUUUUUUCCUCUUAGCAAAUGAUGAAAUGGGAUUGUUUUUUAGAAUUUGUUGGUGCGAAAAGCUCUACUAUUUUAUGUAAUCUUUGAUACAGAGAGAUGACAUUGGAAUUGGAGGGGCUUUUUCAGAGUUUGUUGAUUAUAUUGUUGCAUCUAUGAAAUUUGGAGAUGUAAGGCUUUGUAUGGAAGGACAAUCGGGGAAAGAUGGUAAUCUUCCUGAUAUGUAACUAAUUCAAAUUCUCUUUCCCAUUCAAUAUAUUGUGAAACUCACUCCUUUUUUUAUUAUUCUACAGGUGCAGCAUCUGUCAAACUAAUUGCUCAGAAAUCAAAGGGAAUGCCUGUAUUUUCCAUUUCUCUCACAAAACUUGUUGACUCUGCUGCUGCUGAAGCUAUGGCAACUAUGUCCUUGGGGCUUUUUAACUCAUUAAAAGAAAAGGAGUGUUCACUUAUGAAAGGUUUUCAUCGCUUAUCUAUAGACUGCCUAUAUUCUGUGCUAUAGUCAUCAAAUAUGUCGAUAUCGUUUGGUUAGAAAAAAAAAGAAUACAUUUUUAUAGUGUUUGAACAGAAGGAAAGAUGUUGGAGGUUCUUAUGAAAUAUAGUGAUCGGGUGGGCUCAGUGUGUGGAUCAUUCUAAUUAGAUGGAAGGAUAGGCAUCUUUAGUUUCUUUUCCCUUUUUGUUCCAUCUAGAUUUUGGUAUUUGGCUUUCAUUUCUCUCAAAUAACUUCUCACAGCAUUCUACAAAAUUGUUUGGUAUUUUGUUAAGGCCUUAGCCACAAUUUUAUUUAUCAACUAUGGGGAAGGAUUUGAGAGUUCCCCAAUCUCUCCACACUACUCUAAUGAGAGUCUAUACCAAAAUCAUUUAGCCAAAAAGAUACCCACCCCCAACAUUCACAAUACCUAAAUAGGCAAACUCUAAGAAAGCUAACAGAAUACUUGGCCCCACUUUAACAGUCAUACUCCUAAGGGCCCACCUUACGGGAAAUUACUAACUAACUCUCAAUCAUUCUUUCUUCUUCCCACUUUUAUUCCUAUGUGAAUACACCUUUACUAUGGGGGGUCUAUCAAAUUUGUAUCUGAACAUUGGCAUGUUGCAUUUUUUGUUAUGAAUUAUGCAUAUACAAAAUAAUUGUCUUAUAUUCAAAUGGAUAUAUUAGAAUGUGUCAACUCUCCGGUGUGUCUGUGAACUUUAAGAAUACCUAAUUUUGGUUCCAUUCGUAUGUGAUGGGCCAAUCCAGUCAAGCUGAUUUGAAGUAGGGAAAUAAACACAGUACUCUCAAUCAAAUCUGUCUUGGGAAGCUGUUUCUUUUUAGUCUCCCAUUGGUGUGGUUUUGUAGGACUGACUCAAAUAUCAUGUGCGAACUGCUUGAAAAUGUUUGUACUUGAAAAUUACUUUGUUUAGACUUUAGGGUACCGUGUUUAUUGAACAACAAACUACGUGAUGUACAUGGUUUUAGUUUUUCUUUCUUUAUUAUUAUUAUUUUUUUUUGGUAACUGUGAUAGCAUAGUUUGAUGUAAUAUUCAUUUAUAGGUUAAAUUUAGAACAAGAUUUUUCUCAGAAAUGUUCAAUUUUUUGCAUGCUUGCAUUGAAACUUAGCAUCUGUAGCAUUGACUUUUCUCCUAUACUGUUCUUUCAGAACAAGAGCACUCCCUUCAGUUGACAACCAUGAUAUCAACUGAAAAGGUAUAUCCAUCUUCGUCUUGCACCACUGUAAAUAAAUAUGAUACAUGGUGAUGGGCACUUUUAGUUUUAUACUUAUCGAUAGACUUCAUUAAUAAAUACAUUUAAUAAUACACAAUAUAACGAUAACAAGAUUUCUUCUGAUUUCUUCUCUUCCACAGCCUCUCUUAUAUAUCAGAACUCAAACAGUUUACUCUAGUCAAUACUGUUCCCUGUUAUUAGUCUGCAUAUGUUUUGUUAAUUUUUACUUCCUUUGAAACUUUAUUUAUUAAAUGUUAAUAAGAAAAAAGAUUAAAAAUUAAAAAUGAAGAACACGGAUGUUCUUUAUGUCUCACUUAUUCUUUCAUUAUAUAUGACCUCAUGUAACUUUGUUAGCCAUUUCUUGGUUGAAAAACAUUUUCCAUUACAAUACCAAUUGCUUCCUUAUCCCCUAUGGAUUCAACUCAUGGGUCUUUGAGUUUCUCUAUUUUUGUAUUAAACAUUUCUUAUUUGAGAUUAUACUUUUUGUUGAUGUCAGGAAAAGAACGAAAAUAUCCAAACUCAGCUCGGGCAAUAUAGAAAGAAACAGAAGUUACAAAAUAUGAAUGCCUCAAAUUCUCCUGGUAUGUUCCUAUAAUCAAUCCAUUUAAGGUAUUAUGAAAUUAUAUGUUAUGUACUAAAGGACUGAUCGAUUUUUUCCGUUCUUCACAGAUAAAUCUGGCGUACAUAAUAUUGGCUUGACAAAAGCCACCAAUCGUGUGGUGCCAGUACACCGGAGGUCGGUUUCUCAAAGUUACAUUCAUCACAUAAUUCAAUUGAUUUAUUCCCAAUACUAAUAGAUGUACUUAGCAUUGUAUUUGAACAGGGCGAAAGCUAGGGGUGCCCUUCUGCAAGACUCUGAAGAUGACAAUGGUAGGUAGAGAAGUUGAAUGUCUUGUAUCCAAUCUAGUUUUGUACAGAAUUUUGAUUUCUGAAAAGCUGCUCUAGCCAAUCACUCUCUUCCCUUUGAAUGGAGAAAAAAAAUCCCGUGGUAUUGAGUUCCUCAAUGGUUUGCUUAAAAAGGAACAGGAAAUCCUUGUUUAGGGUCAAGAGGCUAUCUCCCUGUCGUUAUCCCAAAGCUUUAAAACUUUUGUUUCUUCCAUGCAAGUUUUACUUUCUAGCACAUCCACGUUAAAUGAUCUCAUUUUUUCAUAUAUUUUCUUUUAAUCUACACUAAUAGAGAUGUUCCUUCCAUUUUUUUCCCAUUUUUUCUUACAGAAAAAGAGCGCUCCCUUCAGUCGACAUUCGAGGAAAAGGUAUAUUCAGUCUCCUGUCCCCUUUAUGAAUAAAGCACUUUGUCCUUUUAUAGACGGGUUCUUAUUGUCUUGAAAUACCUCAAAAUUAGUACAAGUAUGACCAUAGUCGUGGUGUAUUUUUGGUGCCUUCGGAGCGUAUUUUCAUCUUGCUCAUUAAUUGUUUGUAAAUUUUUUAAUCUACUUUUGAAUAUGUCAGGAAAAGAAAGAGGGGUUGCUAAAUACAGAUACCUUGGCCAUUGUAGACAAUCUUCAUAAGCCUCCUAGUAUGUUUUUUAUGGUUCCCUCUAAAAUUUAAGCUUAUUUGUUUUUAUUGAAAAGAGAGACAACGAGUUCACACCAAUUUACGUGGAAACUCGAGUACCGGGAGAAAAACCACGAUUGUUUGUUGUUAUUAUUUUCUAAUGAAUAAAACAAUAGGUACAGGGAGAAUAAAUAGAGUACACAAUGGAAUAAAAAAGGAAAAGAUUUAGGAAAAUAAGGAAUACAUUCCCAUAAUCUUUCCAUAAUUAUUCUAGGAUUCUAACAAGGAAAAAGCCUAGAAAAAAAGGAAAGAAUUCCAACACUCCCCCUCAAGUUGGGACGUAAAUAUCAAUGAGGCCCAACUUGCUAACGCAAAGUCGAAGUUUGGUCUGAGAAGCCCUUUGGUAAGAACAUCAGCAACCUGUUGACUCGAAGGGAUGUACGGAAUGCAUAUGCUCCCACUGUCAAGUUUUUCUUUGAUAAAAUGUCGAUCAAUCUCAACAUGUUUAGUUCUAUCAUGUUGAACAGGGUUGUUAGCAAUACUAAUAGCGGCUUUAUUAUCACAGAAAAGCUUCAAUGGUGUCUCACAUUCCUGAUGAAGAUCUGUCAAAACUUUCUGAAGCCAAAUUUCCUCACAUAUUCCUAAACUCAUAGCUCUGUAUUCAGCCUCAGCGCUGCUCCUGGCCACAACACUUUGCUUCUUACUCCUCCAAGUUACAAGAUUGCCCCAAACAAAGGUACAAUAACCAGAGGUAGAUUUUCUGUCAACAACAGAUCCUGCCCAAUCCGAGUCAGUGUAUGCCUCAAUGGUCUUUCUGUCUGUUUUUCUAAACAUCAGCCCUUUACCAGGUGUUGAUUUUAAGUAUCUCAAGAUUCUGUUGACAGCUUUCAUGUGUUCCUCAUUAGGGGUCUGCAUAAACUGGCUGACAACACUCACAGCAAAGGAAAUAUCAGGACGAGUAUGAGAUAAGUAAAUUAAUUUACCCACGAGGCGUUGAUACUGUUCUUUAUCAACUGGAACUUGAUCAUCAGAGUUUCCUAGUUUGCAGUUGAAUUCAAUAGGAGUGUCAGUGGGACGACAUCCUAACAUACCUGUCUCGGUUAACAAAUCAAGGAUGUAUUUUCUUUGAGAUACGGAGAUACCUUCUUUAGAUCUGGCCACCUCCAUUCCAAGGAAAUAUUUCAAAUUUCCCAAAUCCUUGAUUUCAAACUCAUCGCCCAUUCUCUGCUUUAGUUGACUGAUUUCUGCCUGAUCAUCUCCAGUCAAAACAAUGUCAUCCACAUAAACUAUUAGAACAGCAAUCUUUCCUGUUUUGGAAACCUUUGUAAAUAAAGUAUGAUCAGAGUGUCCCUGCCUGUACCCUUGGGACUUGACAAAGGUAGUGAAUCUGUCAAACCAUGCUCUGGGAGACUGUUUCAGACCAUAUAUAGAUUUCUGGAGUUUACACACAUGCUGACCAAACUGGGCUUCAAAUCCAGGCGGAGGGCUCAUGUAGACUUCCUCUACGAGGUCUCCAUUCAAAAAGGCAUUCUUAACAUCCAGCUGAUAUAAAGGCCAAUCUUUGUUCACAGCAACAGAUAACAGAACUCUAAUAGUAUUCAACUUAGCAACUGGAGAAAAAGUUUCUGAAUAGUCAAUACCAUAGGUUUGAGUAAAUCCCUUCGCAACUAACCUUGCCUUGUGUCUGUCAAGAGUACCAUCAGCUUUGUAUUUGAGAGAGAACACCCAUUUGCAUCCCACAGUUUUGUGUCCCUUAGGUAGAGUACAAAUGUCCCAAGUACUAUUCUUUUCAAGAGCUUUCAUCUCUUCCAUGACAGCAUUCUUCCAUUCAGGAUACUUUAAAGCAGUGUAGAUAUCUUUUGGUAUUAUGGUAGAGUCAAGGCUUGCUGUAAAAGCUCUGAACUGAGGAGAGAGACUAUCGUAGGAAACAUAAUUGCAAAUGGGGUGUUUAGUACAAGACCUGGUGCCUUUUCUCAGAGCAAUGGGAAUGUCAAGAGAGGAAUCAUACUCAUCUGAUUUUCCUGUAUGACCCUGUUCCGCUUCAUUAUUACGGGUUUCUAUUCUGACCUCAAUCUCAUCACCACUGUCCUUUUCUUCCACGUUUUCAAGAACAGCAACAUUAGACCUGUCAUUCUCACUUAUCAUAUUCUUAGUACAGGGUUCAGUAGGGUUUUCCAUACCUUGAUCUCGAGGAGGUUCAGAGUCUUGGACUGGAGCCGGCGGCUGACUAGUAGGGGAACCGACUUCCUUUUUGUGAUUCCUCCUGUAGUACGUUUUCCAGGGGACUUGGUUUGUGGGUAGGACUAUGGAAUGAGGAAUGAUGUUAGACACGACACUAGGAGUGGGUUCGAUGAAUUCAAAGGUGUUGUUAGACUCUUCACUCACACUCUCCCCCUGAAGAUGGCUAACGGGAAAGUAGGGUCGAUCCUCACAGAAAGUAACAUCCAUAGUGACAAAGUAUUUUCUGGAUGGUGGGUGAAAACAUUUAUAACCACGCUGGUGAGGGGGAUACCCAACAAACACACAUGCCUGAGCCCGAGGGGUAAAUUUGGUUUGAUUAGGGCCAAAAUUAUGGACAUAAGCGGUACACCCAAACACACGAAGAGGAACCUCAGAAACAUGACGAGUCGAUGGGUAGGACUCCUUAAGACAAUCUAAGGGAGUUUGAAGAUGAAGAAUACGAGAAGGCAUUCUAUUGAUUAAAUGAGCUGCUGUAAGAAUAGCAUCUCCCCACAAGUAUGAAGGAAGGGAAGUAGAAAGCAUAAGGGAACGGGCUACUUCCAGAAGGUGACGGUUUUUUCGCUCGGCCACUCCAUUUUGUUGAGGAGUGUAGGCGCACGAGUUUUGAUGAACAAUCCCCUUGGAAGCAAGAAAUUCACUAAGGUUAUGGUUUUGGAAUUCCCGACCAUUAUCACUCCGAAGAAUAGCAAUUUUUUGAUGGAAUUGUGUUUCAAUGGUGUGAUAGAAAUUUUGAAACAUAGAGGAAACCUCAGAUUUAUCAGUGAUAAGGUAGACCCAGGUAAGACGGGUAUGAUCAUCAAUGAAGGUUACGAACCACCGUUUUCCAGAUGAGGUUGUUAUCUUGGAUGGUCCCCAGACAUCACUAUGAACAAGAGUGAAGGGUUGGGUUGGUUUGUAUGGUUGUGAGGGAAAAGAGACUCGAUGUUGUUUGGCCUGAAUACACACAUCACAAGAUAAGGUAGUCAUCUCAACUUUAGAGAAGAGAUGUGGAAAUAAAUGUUUCAUAUAUUGAAAAUUAGGGUGGCCUAAACGAAAAUGCCACAACAUACAAUCUUGUUCAGAAGUAGUGAAAUAGGAAGAUAAGAGACUAGUCCUAGGAAUGCUACUAGAAGAGGUAUCGUCAUCAAGGAGGUAGAGUCCCCUACUAUGCCGGGCAGUGCCAAUCAUCCUCCCCGAGCUCAAGUCCUGAAAAGAGACAGAAUCAGGUAAGAAUAUUGCUUUGCAGUUUAACUCAUGAGUGAUCUUGCUUAUCGAAAGCAAAUUAUAAGAUAGUUUGGGCACAUGCAAAACAUUAUGUAAGGAGAGCCCUGCACAAGGAGAAAUCUUCCCCUUUCCAGCAAUGGGGGCCAAGGAGCCAUCUGCAAUUCUAAUUGUCUCGUUCCCAGCACAAGGAAUGUAAGAUACAAAAUGUUCAGAGGACCCAGUCAAAUGAUCUGUGGCACCAGAAUCCAGAAUCCAGGGGUUCUUCCCAUCAAUACUAACAAGACCGAAGGAAUGAGGUAUACCUGAUUGGACAAUGGCACCUAAAGUGGCAAGACUGAGAUCAGUUUGGUUUUUGUGUGGAUCGGAUUGUUGAGGAGGUUCAGCAGACUCACUCACAUACGCCCGCCCUGUGUUCUGUUUGUCGUUGGAAGGGCGUUUCUUACUUCCUGGGGGACGACCAUGUAACUUCCAACAUUGUUCUUUGGUAUGCCAUUGUUUUUUGCAAUGCUCGCAGACAGGAAUUGGUUUUCCAUUAUGCUUGUCACUGCUACUGUUAGAAGAUCUUGCACUAAAAGCAGCAGAGUCAAUAGUAGGGGUUGCGGAAAUAUUCAUAGCACUUGUGCGAUCUUCCUCGAGGCGGAUUUCAGAGCAAACUUCCAUCAGGGAGGGAAUCGGUCUUUGACCUAGUAUACGCCCUCGAACUACAUCAAACUUAGGAUUAAGACCAGCAAGAAAGUCAUAAAUCCUGUCAUUCUCUUCAAUUCUCGAGUACUGUACACCAUCAGUGGGAUCACGCCAGACUAGUUCUCUGCAUAGGUCCAUUUCUUGCCAUAUAAGAGAAAGCUUAUUGAAAAAGGAUGUGACAUCCAUGGUUCCUUGCUUGCAUUCAUGAACUUGCUUUCUCAGCGUGUAUAGACGAGAGGCAUUCUGACGUUUUGAGUAAAGUGUCUGGGCUGUGUCCCAAAUAUCCUUGGCUGUUGCAGCAAACAAUAACGGCUUGCCAAUUUGAGGUUCCAUACUAUUGAUCAAUAUGGAUCGAAGAAUAGAGUCUUCUGCCUUCCAAUAUCGUUCAUGUGGGUCGCCCGGUAGGGGGCGAGGUAUUUCCCUGUCAGAAAGCUAAAUUUUUGUCGUCCUUCGAGGACCAUCUUUACUGACUGAGACCAUGAGAAAUAGUUGUUGCCAUUCAACUUUUCUCCUGAAAGAUGAUACAUGGAAGACUGAGCCACCGUAUUAGUCACAUAAGGAGAGGAUACAUUAGGGAACGAGUUUACCGGAUUCUCAGAAUACAUCGGUAGAGUGGAUGUCGUCCCUAAGGUAGCCUCAAGUGCUGCUAUCUGUUGUCGAAGCCCUUCCAAUUGUUGAUGAACUAUUCCCGAGGAAGCUUGCACGUUACGGUUGGAAUAUGCCGAAGAUUCACCAACCUCAAAUGUUGAGUGAAUUUGAGAGUUUUUAACAUCGGGAUGGUAGCUAGGAUCAUUGGGUGGCUGGCCAUACAGAUUUGACGAGCAGAAGCGGUGGUAGCCGAUUGGAAUUAGAUGGCAGAACAUAAAUCGGGGCGUGGGGAGCAAUAUAGGCCGCGGACGAAGAAAAGGGUUGGACAGAUGGGAUGGUCGGCGCCGUCUGAGGAAGAAAACCAGGCGCGUGGUGGUCCGGUGACGGCGCGGACGACUGCGGUAAUGACGAAAAAUUAUUUUCGGACGUUUUCUGUAGCCGGCUUAAUAAUUCGUCCAUGGCAGCACUCAUCCGAGCAUCGGUGGCAGCAGCUACGGCAGCACUAAAAUUGAUGGUUGUCCCUUCUGUUUGAUUUUAAUCAGUGGUUUGGUUUUUUUGGGUUUCUAGGGUGUUUUCAUUGUCCCGCUCUGAUACCAUAUUGAAAAGAGAGACAACGAGUUCACACCAAUUUACGUGGAAACCCGAAUACCGGGAGAAAAACCACGGUUGUUUGUUGUUAUUAUUUUCUAAUGAAUAAAACAAUAGGUACAGGGGAGAAUAAAUAGAGUACACAAUGGAAUAAAAAAGGAAAAGAUUUAGGAAAAUAAGGAAUACAUUCCCAUAAUCUUUCCAUAAUUGUUCUAGGAUUCUAACAAGGAAAAAGCCUAGAAAAAAAGGAAAGAAUUCCAACAGUUUUCAAGGUUUAAGAACACUUUUGGUCCCUGAGCUUUCACGAAAGUAAUAAUGUAUUUCCUAAACUUUAAAAUGCAAAAAUUUUGUCUAUUUACUUUCAACUUUGUAUGGACUUUAGUCUCUAUGAUGAAAGUGUUCAUUCAAAUUAAGUGUUAAUUUAUAUUACAUAAUGGCUUAGUCUUCAUAGUUUAUAUGUGAAUUUGAUCAUCAAUGAGUUAUAAACCUACCCGGGUAAGAAACUUAACUCAAUCACAAUAAUAAUUUCCACCAUAGAGAUUUGGUUCUUACUAAUUGUAAAUUACAAGAACUAAAUUGUUACAUUUUAAAGUUAAGGAACUAAAUUGUUAAUACAUUUGCAAGAAUGAGGACUAUCUUUUUGUUACCAACUAAAGUUGAGGGUCAAAAUCGUUAGUUUUAUGCUAGUUUAGGGACGAAAAGUGUUUUUUAAUUAUUCGCUACACAGAACUCAUUAUUGAAUUAUCUUAUUCUUAACAGACAAAUCUGUUCAUGAUAUCGGCUCGACAAAAAUCACCAAGCAUGUCGUGCCAACACAUCACAGGUUGGUUUCUUGACUAAAUGAACCUAAUUUUGUUUGUUAUUUCCCCACGAACGAUGGUAAACAUACUGUAGCAUUGUACUUGAGCAGGGCAAGAACACGAGGUGCCCUUCUGCAAGAUAACGAAGAUGACGAUGGAAGGUAAAAAAAACAAGACAGUUUCAAAAUGUUGAGUCCUUGUGUUCAAAACUAGUGUUAGACAUGGAGUAGGUAAACAAAAUAAUAGAUAUGAUUGUGCAAUGCAGACAUUUCUUUGUUGUAUAUGAUUACGUAAUUCUCAUCUAACUUUGGCUUUCUGCUCAAUUUAGAUUCGAAAAUGUGUAAAUUUUCGAAUGACGAGUAGAUACAAAUUUGAAAUAUAUUGUGCAGCUUAAAACAAGUCACAGUGUGAGACUUUUCAUUAAUUUCUCAAACAAAUCAGCACUUGUUGACAACUUUAUAUUACCAUAUGAGUUAGCUUGAAAAAUAUUAUUAUUAUUAUUAGAAUGUAGAACACAUUUUAAUUUCCAAUAUAUCACGUUCUACAAUUUUUUAAACAUUUAUUUUCAAAACUCUUGACUUUUCUUUAGAAAAAACCAAAAGCUUUUGUUCCAAUAUAUCAGGUUGUAGUCUUUGGCCCUUGAAUUUUGUUAACAUUUAUUUUCAACUAUAUUGACUCUUUCUUUAGAAAAAAUAAAAAAAAAAUUCAAACGAUUACCGAUAAUAAAAAUAGAUAAAGAUAUAAUUUGAAAGAUAUUUAUGAAUAAGUUUAUGAGUAAAAAUAGAUAAAGAUAUAAUCUAAAAGUCGUAUCAUUAAUAAAAGUUUAUCAAAUCAAAAAAUUUAUUACGAAAAAAAAAUAUAGAUAAUCUAACGAAGAGGGAAUCCAAAAAUGAUGAUGUAAAAAGGAAUGAAAAAGCAUUAUCCCCACACUUUAGUUUCUCGUACAAUGAGAACCAUCCAAAUUGUGACAAAGACAGAAAUGAGAUAAGCACAAACCACCAUUAUUGCAAUACAACAAUCAACUAAACUCAAACUCACUCACUCACCUAGACACAACUUUUAAUGCACUCUUUUUGAAAAAGCUUUCCCAAACAAAAGAAGAAGAAAAAAAAACUUAUAUAAUGUGUUGUAUACAAAUUAUUUAUGUUUAUAUGCAGAGUUGCAUUCAUGAACCACUGAUAUAUAGUGAAACUGAUAUGAGUUGUAACUUUUGUAGUUCUAUUUCAUUGGUGCCUCAUAUGGAAGUGGUGGUGAUUGGUGGGUCAUAUACUCAUUAAGAACAAAAAUAAUAAUAAAUCAAAUGAAAAAGUUACUUUUUACUUUUUAGAAAAAGCGAUUGCAAAUGACUAAGUAAUGGAGACAUUGAUAGGUCUAUCAAUAUAUUUAUAUAUAUUAGGUGAGGCAAUUGGAUUAGAAUGAUAAAAUAGCAACUUUUAUCCAAUCAAUUACUUUAUAAAUGUUAAAAGAAGAACGAAGAAAGAGUUGUUUUUCAAAUUAAGCAACAUAAACUCUAUAUUUUGACAACAAAGUUAAAAAGAUAACUUUAUAUUUUUCUUCUUCUUUUAUAAAGAUAUGAUUGAACAUACACCAUUUCAGGAGGUGUCGGUGUCCACUAACAUUAUGCCCAUCCCAUGGUUGCUUUCAUUUCAAAAGGAUCAAAAUUUGGAUAUGAACUCUUACAUUUUGCCUUUUGGUGUUACCUAACUUUUCUUUAAUUAAAAUUAAAGUGUGUUUAGUUUGGAGCAAUUCUAUGUUCGGUGACUUUUUGAAAAUUUUCUUAGAAUGGAUGUGAGUGAAAACAAAACAUGCUGAAAUGACUCUAAUUGGUUCGUGGAACAACUUUCACUCUAAUAAGUCUUUAAGACAAGUAAGAAUGAUAUUGUCAAGUCGCAAGUAAUUAGACGUUACAGAUAUAUAGUUUUAUUUAUAUAUAAACACAUAUCUACAUUAGUGAGGGUCAUACGUUUUACAGAGUGUUUGUAUUUACUCAGUAACACUAAUAUCAUUUUCACACAUUUAAAUUUAUGCACGUUAUAGAUUUUAUUAGGUAUGUAUACAACUUAAUAACACUAGUAAGUAUAAUGUUUUGUUGGUGUAUAUACAUAUAUACAUAAUACGUCUACGUUUUUGCAGAUUAUUGAUUUAGUAACUUUCUUUGGGUGAAUUCAAUUUGUUUUUUUUUGUAACAAAACUAAAUUGUAAAGUCUAGUGUUAGAAAGUAUGGUUUCUCUCCUUCACCCUUUGUUUAAUAAUUUUAAUAAUUUUAAGUUUUAAUAGAUUGUGUUCAUAUUAAGACGAUGGCAUAAGCAGAGUUGGGUGUGGGGCACCGCCGUCACCACCACUACCAAUCUUCAACAAAUCACUUUAACGACGUAUGGGUAAAGGCAGUUAGUAUUAUUGGGUUAAUCAAUUUUAAAUACAUCUUGUACCACUAAAUUCUUUUACUUUAUUAUCUGUUUUUUACCAAACCAAAUCUUUCUUACACUACAAGAGUUUUUUUUCUUUUUCUUUUUUAUCUUUAUAAAAAAAAUACAAACCAUCAUAAUAAGAAAUUAAGAAAGAAGUAAAAGUUAAAAAUCAAAGGUUAAUCAAACGGAUCUUCAAUGUUGAGCUAUUACCAUUUAUAUCCACGAUUUGUUUAAAUAAUAUUUAAAUUCUAAGUCUUCAGUCAUUUUGUGAUUGAGUAAUUUUUAAUAUCAUCCUUCAGAAAAGAAAAGGAUUAGGAUUAGGAUUGUCCUAAUGGGAGUGGGAGUGGGAGUGGGGAGUAGAGAAUUUUGUGAGGAUGAAGAUGGGAUAGGGGGGCGGGGACGGGGAUCGGUAGUGGCAUCCCCGGCCCUCCUCGUCCCGUGGACAUCUCUACUCCUCAUCCCCGUCCCUCACCAUUAAUACCGCGCAUAAGGAGUGAUCCAUUUCCGAUAACGAAAAUCGUGCGUGGGGAAUGGUCCCAACGCUCGACGCGCAAGUGAAACCGUCGUGUGUCGAGUGAUGGAUCUUACAAGGUGGGUGGGAGGGGACGGGGGGGGGGGGGGGGGGGGGGGGGGGAAUAUUUAUAAUUUUAAUUAAGAAGGAUAGAUAUUGAAGAGAGGAAUGAGAAAUUAGAAUGAAAUCAAAACAUUAUAUGGUAGAUGAAACUUAACAUAAAUCAAAGCACAUAGAAACUAAAUAGAAGAGAGAGAGAGAGAGAGAGUUGGAUGAAUUCAUUUGUUGGUGGUGGAGGAUGAGUUGGCGGCGAUGCCGAAGUUGCCUGUGGAGAGAAAUUGGUUUUUGAGUGCGCUCCUCGACGCCGGAUAUUGAGAAGAAUAGGAAUAACCCGGAUAUGGAGUAGUACAUGGUUUCGAUUUCCGUUCGGCGCCGGACUUCAUUUUUUCUCCGUCUUUGUCUUUUGAUUUUUGCUUAUCGCUUCUCUCACUCAUCUUUUCCCCUUUCAUAAUAUUAUCUUCCACCUUCCAAAUAAUAAUAAUUGAGCUUGAGCCACCCACGCAUUUAUAACCUUAAUUUUACACGUGUCUUUUUCUUUUUACUCUUUUAAAUUUUCCAUAAAAUUACAUAUUCUAUAUACAGCUUACCUUCAUAAACCCUAUCUACUGUUGAAUCACUUUAUCUUUACUAUUUAGGAUAAUUUUCUAUAAUCAUAAAGGCAGAUGAAAUUUUAAUUUGGUUGCUAUGAUUCCAAAAAAAUAUAAUUCAUAUAUUUCGGCUAAUAGCAAAGAAUUCCACGUCAGUGACUAUUUCAAUUCAUAUAUUUUGCCAAGUGGAUGAUUUCAAGGUACAGUAUGAUCCAAUAGUUCACUGACACGUUAGUGAUGGUGUGGGAUCUUGCGUUGGUGACGUUAUAUAUAUGGCGUCAUUUACUUACUUUUAAUUACUAUUAUUAUUAUUAUAAUAUCCACUAGUGUAUAUCUGAUUCAUUUAUUGCUUCCUCCAACUUAAAAAAAAAAAGAAAGUAAACUAGAAAAAUAAUUAUUAAAAUACAAAAUUCAUUACUCUUUUCUUUUUUUUUUCCCUUCUAAUUCUAAUCUAAAAAACUUUAAACAUUUCCUUUAUAACAAAACAAUAAACAAACUUGUUUGAUUUUACUUUUUUUUUUCUUAAAUAUGUUAAUAUUUUUUCUUUUAUAUGUGAUGAGAAUAAUUUUAAUAUCAAUUUAAAGUAUAAUUAGCCAUCGGUCAUCCAUAUAUUUUUGUCAACGUUUUUCUUUCUUUUAAUUUGACCAAAAUUCUUUAACUUGCGUAGUCGUUUUUCAUUCAAAUAUUUUGCUUUUUCGAUUAAUAUAUAGAUAACUGUUACAAAAAUGACUUAAUUAAGUUAAGAGGUGAAAUUUUUUAGACAUAUGUUUUUAUUAGUUACAUGUAUGGUUAUAAUGUUUUUGAGAUAUUUUAAUACAGUAUUGAAUUAAUAAUAUCGUCAAAGUAUGUAUUGUAGAAAAAAAAAUCUCUUUUGCUCAUCUCAUAUGACCCAUUCUUGAUUAAACAUAUAAAUAUAUUGAAUCUAUAUAAUGUGAUGUCAACAGUACUAUACAUUCUUGAUAAAAUUAUUUCUCAAAUUCUCAAUAAUUUACAAAGUAGAUAAGUAAGAAAUCAACAAAUUCAAAGAGGUUUAGGUGAGAUAGAUUUCUUAGAUGAAUUAUUGUGGAGAAUCGAAUUUAAUUAAUUAGUUUGUUAAUUAUUGCUUUUCAAUAUGUAAUUCUUUAAAAAUAUGUAUCCACUUGCCCAAAAGAUGUUAUUCUCUCAUUCAUCAAGAUUUUGGUACUUGCAAUUAUAGCCUCAAAAUUAUUGUUUAUUGUAAAUUGAAAUCUCAAAUUUGUUAAAAUUGGAUCCUAAAAUUUACAUAUAAUUAUUGGUAAAGAUAUGUUUUUGGUUUAAUUUUUAUCAUUUAGUGACCUAUUUUAACGUUGGUUUAAGUUCCAGAUUUAAACUUUUUCAAUUGAAAAUUUGAGAGUGUAAUUGUAGCGAUUACAAGUCCACACUUAGCUUCAACGAUGACUAAUUUUAGAAAAUUUUCUAAAAUAAUUAUUGAAGUGUUGCGUUUUGACAAAAUAUUAAAAAAAUAUUUGUUCGACAUUGGAAAAAUUAUAUUAGAAGAAAAACAGAGAGAUCAAUAUACUAUAAAAUAAGUCUAUGACUUUGGUUUUAAAUAACUGUCUUAAUUAGAAACCCUUUAAACAUAAAUAUAUUAACUCAAUCUAAAAUUCAUUCGACUAAUGCCUCUUCAAAGCUAGAUAGAGGAUCAUUUUCUCUUUAAAGGAAUCUUGCUCUUUUAUCUUCUUCUUUUGUUGUUGUCGUAGAAGAUUUGUAUUCUCUAGUUUAAAAGCAAAUUAAUCACUGUUAUAAAAAAGUUUUAAAAGAGUGCGUUGUAAUCGAGAUCAGUUGCUUUUUUAAAAAAAUAUUUAUUUAUGGUAGAUAUUAGAUGUCUAGUUAUCUAAGUCUAGAUCAUCUAUAUCUACGAUACUUCAUUAUAUUAGGAAAGCUUUAUAAUUGAUUACACAAUUAAUAGUUGAUAUGAUCGGUAGUUCGUUAUAUUAGGAAAGGUUUAUAAUUGAUUACACAAUUAAUAGUUGAUAUGAUCGAUUAGAAGAGUUGAGUGAUUUAAAUAUAUAUAUUAUAUUUAAUCUGCACGUUUAUUUGUUGGGGCUUUUAUUACUCAACACAAGAAGUUGAUAAGUUUCUUUCAAAACCGCCAUCUAAUUCUCACUCAAGUUGAUGAAAAUAUUCAUUUUAGUCUUUUCUUUGACUUCUCUUUUUCUAAGCAGGUGAUGCGUAAUCUAUUUUUUUCCCUCCUAAUUUAACUUUUUCAUCACUAUUUUAUUCCUAUUAUACACCUUUAUUUUUUAAACAAAAUAUAUCUAGAAUAAUUAAUGCAAAUGAAAUGAGAUGAGAUGAAUCGAACUCUAAUAUUUGAAUAAUAAGUUUUAAAUCAAGUUUGAUGGUGGUAGAGUUUUUAGAUUGAAAUGGAAUUAGUAAGAUAUAUAGAUUUUAAAGUAAGCUGUAAAAAAAAACCUUAUAUAUGUUGUUAAAUGUAUUUCAUUUAAAAGAAAAGGUAAAUAGAAAAGAAACAUCAAAUCAGUAGUGAGAGGCAGCUGAGAAGAUUAGUUGAAUUCAAAAGUUUUGGUGUCCCAAGUCAAUCACUUUAAAUAUAAAGACCAAAAGAGAAUUUGAUUAUUCAAAAAAGAAUAGCCCCUAAGAUCACCCUCAGUCCUCACUAUUGUUUUUGUUCAAAGUCUAUCUCUCUCUCAUACAUUAUCCAAUGUACAAGGAAUUAGAACCAACAUUUUGUCUUAACAUUGAAAAGAAAGAAAUAAUUUAUAAACUUUCAAGUUCCUAUAAAUUAAUAUUUGUCCUUUUCAAUUCGCUUUUUACCUCUUCAUUUUAAUUUGGGUCUAAAUUAUAUAUGCAUGAUUUAAUUUCUAAUUUCCAAUUGGCCUUAAUUAUAGUUUGAAUUGGUGGGACUUCAAUUAGCACACAAGCUCCUUUUAAUCAACUAUGUUUAAAAUUAGAGUGUAUUUGACUAUUUUGUAAAGGUAUUUUUGAGAAAAGUAAAGCUAAAUUAAAGGGAGGAAGUCAAUAGACAUAAUAGAAAAUCAAGAAAAAAGCUAAGACACAUUGAUAUGAUAUGAUAUGACAUGCCAAGUUGCAAAAAUUAUAUAUAUGAUGAAGUGUAUAUGGGGUGGUCAAGUCAAUUCAUUUUAAGAAUCAAAUCAGUAUUUGUCUUUCUUUAUUUAAAUUAAUAUAUGAUAAUAGGCAUGCAUGUAAUGGCAUAUUUUAGUACCAAAUGUAAUAAAUUAGGUAAAUAUGAAGAAGAGAGCCUUCAAAUACAUCAAAACAUCCCACCAAAAGAAAAGCAAUUGAUCAAUGAAAUGAUAUCCAAAAAAGCAUAAAGGUAAGAAGAACGUAAACAACAUAGAGCUAAAUUCAAUGGUAGAACUAAGCUUUUCCUUUUUUGGAUCUCCCAAAAUUAUUACCUAAAUUUGUGGGAUCUAAUGAGGAUGAAUGUUCUGGAGGUAUAAAUUGAGUUUUAAAUUCAAUUUUUAACCAAAUUUGACUCUCAUCCAUCUUUUCCUUUUUUAAAAUCUUAAUCACAAAUAAUAAUCCAAUAACAUUUAAUACCCUCUUUAAAUUAAAAAAUCAAAUCCAAAAUUCAUGGAUAACUAACCCCAAAAAGGGUAAUGUGUUAUUGGGUCUAUGUCGUUGUGCAUUUACUCUGUGUCUUUAAAGUGAUAUUAUGAUAGUGAGUAUAGAAAUGUGUUAAUAUGAAGUUGAGAUAACAUUCUUUAUGAACUUACUAAUUCAUUUCUUCUCCAAUUGCUUGCUCUCUCCUUCAACCAGUGAUAUGUGUGUGUAUAUAUAUAUAUAUAGACACAUAUUUUUCUGGUUAGGUAUUAAAUUAAAAUCUUCUAUUUUCUUGUUAAUUCGUAGUAUGAGAUCAAAAUGUGUAAUGGGAAUAUUGAUCUCCGUAAUUUAGAUAUUAUGCGAUUUCAUGAGAUUUUAUUUUAUUUGCAUUUAUUACCAUAGAAUAAAACAACAUCUUAUGUAAGAUUUUCGUUUGACUUUAUCUCUAAUAAUAAUAAUCUCCACCCUCUCAAUCUCUGCCCUCACCCACGCUCGCCAUCUCUCUCUCAUCCAUCAUUCGCUGAUAAUCUUCUCCUUCAUCAGUCUUAAGAAUAUAUCGUUUUUAGGGUUUUUUUUUUUUUUUUUUUUUGCUUGGAAGAGAAUUUCAAAUUAUAGCCAUGGGGAGAGGAAAACUGAGCAUGAAACUCAUAAGUAAUGAGAAAUCUCGAAAGACUACUUUUCAUAAGCGGAAAGCAAGUUUGUUGCGAAAAGCUUACGAGCUUUCCACAUUGUGUGAUGUUCGUGUUUGUGUGGUUGUUCAUGGCCCUAACCAAUCAAAUGACCAAUCUCCACUCCAACUUCACACAUGGCCGCCCUCUGCUGAUGAAGUCAAUAACAUGAUUGCUUCUUACAAAACUAAUUGUCUCUACAAACGUGUUCGCAAGUCAUUCGGUCUUAUCGAUUUCUUCUCCGAAAGAAAGAAGAAGGUCGAAACUGAUAUGUCCAAGCUUCGUAAGGAUGUUUCUGAAGAAAGGUAAUUAUAAUUAUAGUUAAAUAUGCAUGUUUGGAUUUACUAUUUGUUUAUAGUUUAACAAUCUUUGUGUGAGUUAAUUUGUUAUUAUAUUAUGAAUGUUGAUUAGGUUUCCAAGUUGGGAUGAACGUCUAGAUCAUCUCUUAGAAGAUCAAUUACGAGUUUUAAUGGUGGAAUUGGAUUCAAAGAUCGAGAUAGCGAAGAAAAGGAUUGAGAUAGCAACGGAGAAUAAUUAUAAUGUUGAGGAGGGGACGUCAGUGGAGAGUAGCGGCCAAACCCUAAAUGCAAACAUGAAGUGUAAACAAGUAAUGGGAUUUGAUCAUGAAGAGGAAAGUACUGAUUAUGGGAUGUUUGGAAUUAGGUCAUCAAUGGAGCAAACACAAGGCAUAAUGCCAUUCCAUCAUCAUCAUCAUCAUCAUCAUCAACAACAACAACUUCAAACAAUGGCACAAAGCUGUCUUCAAAUGGAUCAUGAGAUUGAGAAUUUGUCUCCAUUCCUAUUUGGAUCUAAUGGGUCAGCACCACAAUUUCAGUUAAGUUAUGGAAGUAAUACUAACAAUUGUUUCCAAAACUACCCUCAUAGUUUUUACAAUGAUCCAACAAAUGGGAUGAUUAUGGAGAACACACAAAGCUACUCAUCAAUGUGCCAUUAUGGAGUUCCAUUUGGUGCACAAUCAGUUGUUCCAAUAUCAUAUAUGCAAAUGCAACAACUCACUGCCGGCGCUGAGGAUCAGAUGAUGAUGGGUUAUGCUUCAACCUCUCAAAUGGCUUUGCCCAAUACUGCUUCUUCUCAAGUGAUCAAUGAUCCAUUUGAUUUCUACAAUAGCUAUGAGUAUUUGAUGAAGCCUAACAACUUCUAAAGCCAUGAUUAAUUAGUUCAAAGGCUAAUUUGAAGUAGAAAUAGUUCAUUUGUAUCUUUGUUUGUUGAUCACUAAUAUAGCUCUAAGUUGUAAUGAUUUUGGAUAUAUAUCAUUUCUGAUCUCAAUUGCUAUUCCUUUUGGUUGGAAGUUUUGAUAUUUGAGGAUUUUCUUAAUUGGUUUUUGAUUUGAGUAAUGGAUCUGAGAUCUCGAUAUUAUUUAGAGAAAAUAUUUACAAAUACUUAUUAUUGGAUUAAAAAAAUUAUACAAUAAUGUCUUAUCCCUAUUAACUCCAUUUGUCAUUAAAAUAAAUAUAAGAAGGUUGAUUUAGAUUUGUCUUACCAUUUAUAAAAUGAUUAUACCAUAUUUUCCUUAUUUAUUGAAAGACUUCUUGAUACUUUAUUUCUUUUUUCCUAUGAAUGAUCAUUAUAUUAAAAUUGACAUUCCACGAUUUAAGGUUAUAAGAUUAAUUUUAUCAUUUUCAAAAUUAAUUUGAAUUCAAUUCCAAUCAUAUGGUUGCUUGAUGUAUAAUUUGAAUAAAGCACAUUUAUUUAUUUAUAAAUAGUAAGAUGUCAACUAAGUGGUAAUUAAUAUAAAUUAAACAAAAAAAUAUUAAAUUAAAUUAAAAUUAUUAAUCAAAUUUAGAAUGGUAAGUAAAUGUGAAAAUUGAAAAGGUUGAAUCGGGGGCUAAUUUUGUAAAUUCUUAUAGAGAAAAACCCUAGUUCUUAUUUCCAUCAAUAUUUCCCCACAUUUCUUCCAUUUCAGCACAGCCCCUACCUCGACAUCCAUUCCUCACGAUUCUUCAAAUUUGCUUUUGAAUCUUUUUGUUGUGAGACUGAUUCGUUUUUUUCUUGAAGAGAAGGGGUAAUCGCAAUGGUGGACGUCGAGGAGGAAAACGGAGAAGAUAAGUUAAAUGGUGUUGCUAGUUCGAGUGGAUUUUUCGGCAAAUUGGAACACAAGUACAGAGAAAUCAAAGAGAAUGCAGAAAAGUAUCCUUAUGUGUGGGGAUCAUACAUUGUCGUCUAUGGCGGAAUUUUUCUUUGGGCUGGGUAUAGAUGGAGAAAGCUUCGGAAGACGGAGGACAGAGUACGCAUUUUACAAGAGAAGCUUCGAAAACAUUAUGAAGCACAAGAAUCAUCUAUCAAACAAUCAGCAAAUUCAGUUGAUAAAACUUCAACUCCUUCCAAGCAGUAGCCAGAUUUUGAAUACGUUCUUCUUCUUCUUCUUCUUCUUCUAAAGAUAAUGGUUAGAUUUUGUAUCUCAUUUGUUCUGCUGUUAGGUUCUGAUUUUGUUUUAAUUUAAUGGGGAUCCCAUUUCCGUUGUUGACAAGUACACUGCUCUGUUGUUGUUCAAAAUCAAUUCUGCAAUGCAAAUUUAGGAGAUAAAAGAAUAAUGUUUUACAAUGGCUGGAAUGCUACAAGGAAACCAUUCGCUCAAAUUUAAUACGAUUUGAGUGAUUAGAGCCUUUGUUUCUCUUCAAUUCUUCUGUUUGUCAUUUAAGUGUGUUUUGAUUGACUUUGGUAGAGUGAUUUAGUUGUUGUUUGGCUUUUCUUAGUGUUGUUAGAGAACAUAAUAUCAUUUCAGAAUUCAGAACCAAUGUUGCUCCCAUUGGUUAAUGAUGAAGUUAGUAGACGAAUACUUUUUGGAUUUUAUUAUAUCUUAUGAUGAACAACUCUGGGAUUGUUUAUAUGUGGUUCUGACAAAUUCUAGGUAAGAUUACAUUCCAUUCCAUUUCAUACAGUUUUCAUUCCCUUAACCAAUAAGGCUUUUCAUUGUGUUUUGAAGGAGAAAUUGAAAUUGUGUCUGAACCAUUUCCUUUCAAACAAUUUUUCUCCUUUUCGUUCAAAAGAUGAUACUGAGAUUGUAUUAAUUUUUCUAUAUCUUAUACCGAAUUUGGAGAAAAGUUGAAAAUAUAUACAAUUUGGUAUAAUGUUCUUAUGGGAAUAUUUGAAAAAAAAAAAAACUAUAAUGUGUAAUCAGGGUCAAUCUUGGAUGGACCUAGAAGAAUUGCGAAGACUCAAUCAUCUUAUUUUUGAAAAAAUUUCACUUGAGCUAUGUUAGGUGCCUCCGGACAAAGUGGUGGAACGUCAAGGAAGUUGGCGAUCAGAUGACAAGGGAUCCGACGGAACGUCAAGGAAGUUGGUGAUCCGAUGACAAUGGAUCCGGCGGAACGUCAAGGAAGUAGGAAGUUGGUGAUCCAAUGAUAAUAGAUUCGGCAACGGAAGCCAUUUCGAAUUUGCUUGUAUUUAUGUUGGUUUUUUAUUUUAGUUUGACUAUGCGAAUUGAGAUAGAUGAUCUAAACUAUUUAGAAUGAAGAAAGAAGAAAAAAGAAUAGAAAGAUAGAUUCACUGAUGAUUGCGUUAAAGGAACUUCCUAUGAUAUCUAAGAACAAAAUUUGGGUGGCUAAAGAUCAUGAUUCGGAAAAGUAGAAACACUAGUAGUAUAGUAUAUGGGUUUAAAUAUGCAAGGGAGUAAAAUUUCAACUAUUACAAGGAGUUUGAGCAAAAAGAAAAUUAAAACCAUUCACCACCUAGCUAUAUCCUAUGUCCUGUCGUAUGUAGAGAAAAACAGGUCUAAUGUUUCCAAGUUUAUCGACCACCAUUGGUGCUCGAUCGAGAACCGCUCUUUUCUUACACUUGCAUGGACAACAUCACUAUCAUAUAUACACUCAUGAAAGAUCAAUGUUCUCAUUUUAAAUGGAGGUAUUAAACGACUCCAAUUCUCUUCCUCCAUGUGGAAAAACCAAAUCCUUCUUUAAUGGAACUCAAAUCUUUAGCCAGCUUUACGAUGCCAUUGUUAUGGCUAAUGGCAUUUCACUCUCACGAGAUACUAUUGAGUUGUUGGAUGACGAAUUGCUGUGUCUUUGAUCAGCAUUGUUGUUGUCCUCGUUAUCUCGUUCUCCCACGUCCUGCUGAGCGGAUUCAGCAGACGAUGCAUUAUUGUUAUUGUUAUUAUUGGCAUUUGCAUUAUUGGAACUUACAUCCGCCCCAAUACCAAGGGAGACUCUAAAACCACAUGCACGUGAGAGAACUCUAUAGAAGAAAGUUAAUAGCCAAAAGAACCAAGGGAGGCAGACCAAGGACAAACCGGUGAUAGGUAGCCAGGCGGUGGUUUCGGUUUCAGGGAGGAUCAUGUACAUCAAAAGACAACCGCCACCGCUGAGAAUGGAGAAGAAGAGAAAACAAGUGACGAUCCAUAUGAAUGCACGUCCAGCUGAGGGAUUCACCAAAGACAUUAAUUUUGGCGUUUUGAAAGAAUGUGAGUUUGAUCAAGAGAUGAUGGAUGAAAGGUAGAAAACAAGAGUUAGGAACAUGAUGAUGUUCUUCCUGUGAUGAUGAUCAUCUUCCAUUUUCCUCAUUGAGAAACAAACUGGUUCGAGAUUUGCAUGGAAAUUUCUGUCUUUUGUGAAGAAAAAAGAAAAAAAAGUUUGUGGAGAGAUCCUCAAAAGUUUGUUUAUGGAGAAGAAACACAAUAUCUAAUUUACAACUUUUUUUUGUCAAAGUUUUUUUCCAAUGGUGUUACGUGAUUUCAGCUCUCUCAAAAUUAGUCUGUUUUUUUCCAUUUACAGCUUUGAAAUUCAUUUCUUUUUUUUUCAAGAAAGAAAAACUUUUUUUAUUGCAUUCUAAUUACACACUAUAUAAUCAAAAUUUGUAGAUCAUAUGAUAUUUUUUAUAAAAAAAUCCAAUAUAUGCAUGCUAAAGUAAAUAUUUGUAUAUUUUUCAUUGAGAAAAUUCUUACUAAAAAAAUUGGAAUUGAAACGUUAAACAUGCUUGAUAAUUAAUAAAAAGAACUAAGAAUAUAUUUAAUGAAUGUUUGAACCAUACAUGUGUCAGUGUUAUACAUUAUCUUAAGAAACUGAGAGGCAAUAGAAUUGAGAGAGAGUAAUUAAUUAAAAGAGUUAACACCGUUAUCAAAAUGAAAAAUAUUGAUAUUAUUACGAGAUAACAUAAAUAACAAAAUAUAAGUCAUUUUGAUAACUUAAUUUAGAGCAUCAUGUUUUAUAGAAAAAUCAUUUUAUUUAAAAUCAAAACAUUCGUGCUUUUAUGAGAUAUACUUCCACAAAAUAUAUAUAUAUACACACAAAUUUGUUUAAUUUUCUAUAUACUAAAAGAAGUGAUGGUAUUGAUGUCAAGUUAGCCUAAAGAACUAUCAAACCCUAUGAACAAAUGAUUUUAAAACAUUUUUAAAUUGUAGUUUAAACUCUUUUAUCAAAAGACUUUGGAUAAAAAUGGUUUUUUUUUUUGUUUUUGUUGCAUAAAACAUUUUUCAAACCUUAAUAUAUCGCAUGAUUGUCAAAUACUUCAACUUUUUCUAAGAUGACUUAUUUUCAAGACUAAACGAAAACCAAGUACAACUAGUAAUCAAUAGUUCGUGCAUGAUCGGAAAACACAAAUAAGAGUGGAAGAUGAUCCAUAAGAAAUUGAGAAGGAAAUAGUAGUGAAAUGGACUAAGUAGAGGUUGGAGUAGCAUCAGGCUGCUCCGCUGGGGCUGCAUCUUGAAAUGCUGCUGUACCAUUGUAUUCCUCAUUCAACCUGUUUAAUAGAGAAAAUUUGGACUGCCAAAAACAAAUAUAAAACAUUGCUUAGCAAUUUUACAAUUCCAAAUACUAGAGGGAGAGAUUGUCAAUUUGAUUUCGACCAUAGACAAAUGAGUAAUAACAAUGAUAUGGUUCUCAUUUCCAAUGAAUAAUAUAGUCCAUUGAGAACUUUUCAAAAGUAUAUAAUAAGCUUUAGAGAUCAAAUAGAUAGAAAGAAACAAAGUUUAAGGAGGACUUAUCUUGUAAUUUAUCCUAAAAGUAAAUACUAUAUCUAAGCAUUUCAGGAGGCUUGGACUUCCCCAUAGUAACGACAUGCCAAACUCUUCCCUCAUCCCAAACCCUCUAACCUAAUUCCAAUAAUAGCAAUGCAGUACUUCUUAGCUCCUAUUGCUCUCAUUCUCUUCUAAAUAAGGUCUGGAAAAUGUAAUUAGGCGGAAGAUAACCAAUGAAGGUGGGCCUAUGGACUGUGAUCGUUAAAAAUAUUGAACCAAUUACAAACGGAGUGACACGAGCUGUAAUAGAACUUGUUAUAUUAUAAACGAAGCAUUUCAGAGCAAUGACUAAAAGCUCUAAUAAGUUAGGAACCAGUAAUACCAUGUCAAUAUUGAAUCUAUUGAUGGCGCCAUGAAUUUGAGGAGCCAAGAACAAGUCCGCCUGCAGAUGAUAAGAAAUGGUUAAUCUUAAUAUGUAUAAAAGAAGUUCAAUAUAAAUUACUCUUUCUACUUCUGUAAACAUAAGAAAUGUACUGUAUUUUCUUGGAAAAAGGAACAUGUAUUGUUAUGAAAGAACUUCAAAAGUAGGAUGAGGCAUACUGAAGAAUCCCUAAGAACUUACAUAAAAGCACUCCAUUUGGCACUAAUGUGUAAAGGAGAAUAAAUUUGGAGACUGUACUAAUGUUAACCCUACUGAAAAGAUACAACUUUUAACACAGAGCAUUCUAAAAAUUAUCAUAUUUCCUUCUAACCAAACUUUAAAAAGAAAAACCUUAAAAACACAGUUCCAAGGAUUUACUCCUUUCCUAUGAGGGAGUCUCUCUGAUUGUUCUUGAAAAAGCAUCAUUGAACUCCAAAAAGUAUUUAAAUAGACUGCCGGCAAAUAAUCACAAAAUCAACAAUUGGAGAAUAAGUGUUUCAGAUUCAUUCUCUCUUUUUUUAUUUUUAAACAUAUUUCCCUCCAGAAAAUGUACAAGGUGGGAGAAAUUUGGAUGUGACAAUUUCCACAAUCUAUCACUCAGGUUCACCCCUUCUGAACAAACAUAACAAGAAAUAUACUGUAUUAUUGCCAUACUGUCCCUGAAUUCUAAAAUAGGUUCAGAUCCACUGAUAGAGUUUCAUUAAGGACUACAACAGAAAAAUAUUGGCCACCUUUAAACCAAGGCCAAACUGCAACUUGAUAUUCAGAUGAGACAAUCACUUAGAUUUUCUAAUCAGAGCUAUCAUCUGUAUCAUAAUACUCAUAGCACAAACUCAAACUAACCAUAUAGAUUUCAUCUCCAGUAGCAUAUUUCCCAGCAUGAGGUUUUAGCAGCUUUUCAAGUGCUGAAGCACAAAAAUGCAAAAAUGCAAAAAAAAAAAAAAACUAUUAAUAAUAAAAUAACUUUCAGCAAUAUAUAAAUUAAGAGUUGAGAGACCAUGAGCUUUUAGGAGAUUUUCAAGUGUUGAAACCGAGUGAAACACACAUUAAUGGCAUAAAAAAAUAACUCUUUCAGCAACUAUAUAAUCAAGAGUUGAGAAAACUGAGCUUUUAGCAGCCUUUUUAUUUUUCCUCUAACAAGUUGAGGGAGGGUAAUUGAAGCUAAUUGAUCACAACUAACCCUACUCGACAUCAGUUAUGUAGAUUAAAACUGGACAUGAGAGUGGAUAGAAUCGUUAUCUAUAUUGUCCUAUAUCCAUUCCAUGUGCUAAAUUUGUUUUCUGUAGGAAUUUGAAGAGAACUAGUACAGCAAACUUGUCUUAAAUUCGGCCUAAGUUCGGUUUUUUAUCACACACCAAGUCCUUUUGUGGUCUGAUUAUUUAAAAAGGGAUGAUUUCUAAAUAUGAUCACUAAGUACUUGUCAAGUGUGUGGACAGAAUCAUCAGAGCUACUAAUAAGGAAUCGUUUAUUUUCCAAUAUUCACAUCUUUACUUGUCCAGGAAGUCUCUUAGAUUUCAUCACAACAGAGAUUUUUUUAAGUUUCAUCACAACCCAAUCUUACCUGUAAAACCUUUUUCAAUAUUAUGUUGAACCCAACGAAGUUUUUCUGCUGGACCAGAUUUUUCCUCAAUGUACUUCUGUAAAGUGAAAAAAUAAAUCAUUAAAAAAUAGCAGAGGGAGAAAACAAAACAAGUGAAUGAAAAGCAUUAUAAAUAUAACGUUUACACCUGGGAGGGAAUAAACGGCACCAAAUCAACCAAAUACCAAAAGAAUGCACGUUGAACACUCACCAGAACAGCUAUAUUUUGAAGAGGCUGUAUGCUAGAAGAAACAAUGUUUGCAGCCUGAAGAAAAACUUGGAGAAGUUAUUUAAUGUCGGGUACGUUUACAUACAACAACAGCUAAAAAGUUUCUCAAAAUUUCAAUAACAAUCCACAUCAGUAAUACUGUGCUUAAGAAAGAAUCAUCAGGCUCCCUCCAAUGCGGUCUCAUGGAUUUUAUACAAUCGCAAUUUUCUAAGACAGAUAUUAGUCCCAGCCCCCAUACGAAGUAGUCCCACAUUACUUUGGCGCAUUUCUUGCCAUUUGCAGGUACUAAACGCACAUUAAUCCCAUGCAUUAUUAACAAACGCAAUAUACCUGGUAGUUGAUAGCUCUUUUACCAAGAUCACAAGGCAACAGAGGAUUCUGAGGGUACUUCUCCUCCAAAUACUGUAAGUUCAGAACAAGUUCAAAAAAUCAAUUAAAAGUAAAGAACUGAAAACCGCAAGCUAAUUAUAUAGAUGAAUUGAAAACAAAAGGCACGAACCAUGAUUAUAGCAAAAGAGUCAGCAAUAACAACAUCACCAUCCACAAGAGUGGGUACAUAACCAAUAGGAUUAAGCUUCUCAUACUCUAAGCAACAGGAAAACAAAGUAAACAUAGAAAUCAGCUUCAAUUUCAAAGCAGAAGAAGGCUUAUUCUAGAAGAAUAAAUGUGAUCCUGAGAAAGAAAUUGAGGAAAUGUAAAAAAAAAAAAUCAAAAUUACCGGGUGAGAAUUGCUCUCCCUUGAGUAGAUUAACAGCCUUGUACUCGUAAUUUAGACCUGAAAAAGGAACAGAUAAUAAUAAUAAUAAUAAUAAUAAAAAAGUAUUAAGUAGAAAAAGCAAAAUGAAAGAAGGAGGGUGAGGUAAGAAUGGAGGGGUUAGGCAGGAAAAGGAAGAAAAGAGGAAAUACGUUUGAGGUUUAGGGCAAUUCGAACACGGUGAGAACAAGAGCUCCUCCAGUAAGAGUAAAGCUUCAAGGAAGAAGCUGCAACCGGCGAGGUCUAGAGUUGAAGAAGCACAAAAAAUGAAGUGAGAAAGAAAAAGCAAAAGUGGAAGAAGAAAGAAGAAAGUAAGAAGGAUGAACCAUGGUGAUCCGAUGAGCGGAGAAUCCAGAGAAUCAGAAAUGAGGUGAUGAUUCAGAAUGAGAACGAUCGUAUUAAUUUGAACGGAUUCAAUUCCAAUUCCAAGGCCAUGUAAUAUAUAAUAUAGUAAUGAUGAUGGCAUAGAGUAAGGAAUAGAGUGGAUCGGAUCCAAAUGGAAUCGAAUCCGAAAAUGAAUAGAUUUGUACAACUUAUGUCUAGGAGUGACCACUGAGCAUAGCACCAAAACCCGAGUUCAACUGACCAAACCGGUUGAACCCAGCAAAAAUUGACCGAUUCUUCUUUCAAUUCGGUUAAAACCCGGUUUCCUUUUUGAAAGAAAAAGCCGAACCCGAGGAUCACCAUCCAAAUUCCAAGGGUUGCCUGAAGUUGUUGGACCAAUGCAUUCUCAGAAGUAUUCUCACCUAUGCAUGUCUUCUGCUAACCCUUUCUCCUUUAUGUUUGGUUGCAUGCACACAAUGCCUCUGCCUCUUUCGGAGCUUUACCAACCAAUUUUCAAUUUUCAAUUUUAAUUCCCAACACCUAAAAUUAUAAUUAUUCAUAUGAACGCUUUCCACAUAAUCCACAUAAAAAUUGAAUCUUUUUCUUGGAACGUGGAUUAUUCAACAAUCGAAGUUGAGUUACGUUUUAAAAAGGAAUAUAUCAAUAAACUUCUAUGAAAUAGUUUCAUGGAAUUGAGUCAAUUGUCUUCACCCUGGGAUAUCAUUGAGAAAUAGGAAUUCAUGUUAUCAAAGGAUUUGAUAUCGAUGUAUGUUAAAAGACCAAAAAGUUCUUUGUUUAAAUAUACCCACUCUUCAUUUGUACUAAAACAAUAGUUAAUAUAAGAUAAGAGGUGAAAUAUACUUAGGUUGGUAAGUUAGAUAUUUUGCAAAUGUGUUGACUAGGUCUCUAUGGUUUGUGUAGCCUCUAUUUAUCAAAGUUUGGGAUGCAACAUUUUUAAUAUACAAAGUGCAUCACAAAUGGAGUAAAAUAAUACAUUUGUCAAACAAAGAACUAACUAAACACCUGACAAUAUCGAAGGUUGUUUGGAGAGGAUCUCUCGACACAUUGUUAACAAUUUUUCGAUAAUUAUAGAUAUUGGGAGAUCAUCUUUUUUUUUUUUUUUUUUUGUAUGUAAUCAUACGACAAUAUGAUGGUAAUAAAAAAACUACUUAAUAAUCUAUAAAAGAUGGAAGAUAAUGAGAUGGUUAUCUGAAACUACUUAUUAAUUAUAUAUAAACAAAAAUGUAAGAUCAUUUGAUAGCAAUUGAUGUUAUUUACAAUUAAAUAACAAUUGAUAUUAAAGUAAAUAACAAUGAGAUGGUAAAUCGGUAUCAUUAAUAAUCAAUAUAAAUAGCAGUAAGACAGUAAUUAAAUAAUGAUCAAUAUCAUUGUUAACUAGUGUUAACCAAGUGAGAAUUCGAUAACAAUGAGACGAUAUACUCAAAUGCAGUCCAUAUUUUUAAAUAUAAAAGCAUUUUGGUCGUUUGACAAAUUCAAUUGGACUGAACUUCUCAACUUAUAACUCUCGUAAAUUUUAAAGUGUUGGGUCUUUUCUUUGCCUAGGUGUUUCAAUUACUUAGGAUGAGGAGGUUUCUUCCCUAAAAGAAAUAGAAAAUUUGUGUAGAGUUUUAAUAUAAAUUGGUCCUCACUUUAAUAUUUUCUUUAUAUAUAUUUCAUUUUUAUUUUUAAAUUAUAGGUUAAAUUUUAUAAAAAUGCACCACAAACCCUAUAGAAUUAAAGAAAACAUUUUUGUCUUUUAUGGAAGAAAAGAUGUGUUUGACUUAAAUUUAGUUAAAAGCUUAAAAACAAACGUUGUGGGACGUGAAGUGAGUUAUUAUAAUAUGUGUUAUUAUAGUAUGUGGGUUAUAAUAAUUUAUGAGUUAUUAUAAUCUGUGUUUGGGAUGCAGAUUAUUAUAGUUUGAGUCAUUGUAAUCUAUGUUUGAGAAAAGUAAGAAAUAUUGAAACGAGGGAGUGAGGAAUAGUGACAUAUAUGAGAAAUGAGGGGUGAGGAAUAGUGAAAGGGAGGAGUGAGGAAUAAGUGAAACGAGGAAUAGAAGAAUAAGAAAAAAAAAAUAGAAUAGUCAUAAUCCUUGAGACAAACAUAGAAUAGCCCAUCCCACCAAUGUGAGGGUUAAAUGACCAGUUACUAUAAAAAAAAGGUUCAACACAAAAAAAAAAUUUAAACAUUUUACAAAAUAUUUAUACUUAAUAAAAUUUGUACCAUUGGAGGAAGAGUAAAUAAUUUGUCUUAACUUUUUUUUUUUUUGAAAAAAUCCCAAGUAAUUUUUGAAAAAUAUAAAACGAAAAUAGAAAAAAUGGAAUGAUUUGCAAUUGGGCCUUUUUUGAGCCCGUAAUAAUUGGCCUUUUCCCAAUCCGUUAAUAGUGGGCCUUUUUCUAAGCCCGUAUUAGUGGGCCUUUUCCCAAGAAGUAAUGGUGGGCCUUUUCCUAAGCCCGUAAUAGUGGGCCUUGAGGAUAUCCUCUUGAGAAACCCUAGUUUAUAAUUCACCUUCGUUUUCCCAAAAAUAAACCCUAAUCUAGCACUCGAAGUUCUCCAGCAAAACACAGCCAUGGGGAGAAGUAUUGCUCUCUAUUCUGUCUACAAAUUGCAAUUGAAAUGUAGCAUUUUUUUUUCUUUCUUUUAUCUUUUCUCAUUGUUUUUGCAUUUGGUUUUGCAGGACCUGCUAGAUGUUACCGCCAAAUCAAGAACAAGCCUUAUCCCAAAUCGCGAUUUUGUCGCGGUGUUCCUGAUCCCAAGAUUAGGAUUUAUGAUGUUGGAAUGAAGAAGAAGGGUGUUGAUGAAUUCCCCUUCUGUGUUCAUCUUGUGAGUUGGGAGAAAGAGAAUGUUUCAAGUGAAGCUUUGGAAGCAGCUCGUAUUGCCUGUAACAAGUACAUGGCAAAAUUUGCUGGGAAAGAUGCGUUUCAUUUGAGGGUUAGAGUUCAUCCCUUCCAUGUUCUUCGAAUUAACAAGAUGCUUUCAUGUGCCGGAGCUGAUAGGCUCCAAACUGGGAUGAGAGGUGCUUUUGGUAAGCCACAAGGAACUUGUGCAAGAGUCGCCAUUGGUCAGGUUCUUCUUUCCGUUCGAUGCAAGGACAGCAACAGCCAGCAUGCUCAGGAGGCUCUCCGUCGUGCUAAGUUUAAGUUCCCUGGUCGUCAAAAGAUCAUUGUUAGCAGGAAGUGGUAUGCCUCUUCAUUCUCAUUUCAUCUGAUUUAUAUUUAGUUUCAAUUCAUCUCCUUGGAGUGUAUAUUUGAUUGAAUCAUAAAUGUUCAAACUUUUCUCUUCAGGGGAUUCACUAAAUUUAGCCGAGCUGAUUACCUCAAGUUCAAGUCAGAGAACAAGAUUAUGCCAGAUGGUGUUAAUGCUAAGGUAUUUGAUGCCUGAUAAUUGCAAUUGCAUUCCUGUUCUAUUCUAUUAUAGGAGAAUUACUUCUUUCAUCAAUUUGUUGCAUUUAGCUGAAGAUUGAUUUACAAACUAAAGAAACGUGGAGGGGUUACUCCCUGAAAAUGUUUUGAAUGGGGCUUCCUUGUUAGACCUUAGGGCCAUAUUUUUAAUUGUGAUCUCUUGUUUUUCUGGGUUGUCCGUCACUUUUAAGGCACAAUCACUGCUGCUAUCAAUAUGUUUAUACAUUUUCUAUAGUUUGUUGUGAGUUGCAUUCUUGUUAAUUUAUUUUGAGUUAAACUCAUGGUUUGAAAAUUUCGACUGUGCAGCUUCUUGGAUGCCAUGGGCCUCUUGCAAACCGUCAGCCUGGAAGAGCUUUUCUAUCUCAAACUGUCUAAGCUAAGCUAGUUAAUUUUUGGAUUUUGAAACUAUGUGAGAAUUAAUGUCGACAUCAUCAUCAUUUUCUCUGUUUGAACAUUGUGAAAUGAGCUAGUCUCUUUUUUGUUUUGAUUUACUACAUUUUGAUAUUGGAACGAAAGCUUUGUUUCUUUCUUUUGAGUUCUAUUUAAUACUUAGUCGCUGUAGAGUUUGAUUUUUUUCAAAACCUUGAAUAAUGAUAUGAAUGUGAGAAUCCCCCAACUUCUACAAUGGCAUCUUCAAGCAAAUCUCCAUAGUUUAAAGGAUAGGUUUCUCUUUUUCUAAAAAUUAGCAAAUGGUUUUUAAAAGAGGGAAACCGUAAAAAAGUUUAAUGAAUUUUGUGCAAUUUUGUUUUUAUUUUUGAAAAAAAUCUAUAUAAAAAUCAUUUUUUUUUUUAAAUUUAUGACAUGGAAAGCUUAGGAAACAUGUCAAACAAUUAAUUUUUCAAAACACAUUUGAAUCAAAAACCUUUAGUUAAAAAAUAACCAUUGAAAAGGAUUCGCAAACAAUUUGAGAUGUCAAUUAAGGUACUAGUCAUGUUUACUUGUUUCACAAGUUGAUGCAAUCAGAAUAAAACCAAUCAAAGGGAACAUAUAGCACCACAAAAAAAAUCUCUCCUUCAGCAGAAAAUGAAUUCAUUCUGAAGGAGGAGCAGCAUCGUUGGAUGAUAGCGGUCCUUUAUAGAGCAAGUCUAUCGGUACAUACAAGAAGUAUUUGGGCUGAGCACAUGUUAACGAAAGAUCUGUCUUCUAUGCUUCAAAUGUUAAGCAACUAAUUAUUUACUUCUCAUUUUAAUGGAUGAACAAAUAUGUUCAUAUGCCCAUUUAUGUUCAUAUGAUCAAACCAUUUAAGCAAGUUGAAUAAAUGGAAGGAUAAUUUUAAUUGAUGACAGAUAUAUGCAAGUUUUAUGUUAUAAUUAGAUUGAAUGUACUUCCCUAAUAAAAAAAAAAAUCAAAUCUAGUAAAUAAUAACUAAUAGUUUCCGUUCAAAUUUGAAUUAUGAGGAGAAAGACUUCACACUUCUUUCAAUAUGUAACAAAAGAAUGAAACAACAAAAUGAUUUUAUUAUGUAACCAAGAUGAUACAAACUUAUACACUACGGUGUUAUAAUAAUGUGACAAGAAAAACAUCAUUUGAAAGAGAAAUGACAGUCACGAAUGGUAAAUACGCUUGAUAUAAUCUGAUUGUUUUGUUUGGAUGAAACUUUGGAUACUUGCCACAUCACCAUGCAUGACGACUUUCCCGUCUUCCAUGUAGAUAGCUCCAUCUGCAUACUCGAGUUCUUCUAAGCGAUGGGUCACCCAUAAUGCUGUAACAUCUUCAGAAUUGUGUAAAGAAUUCCUAACUGCUUUGAUCACCCCCGUCUGAUUUAGAAACACAAAAGGAGAAAGAAAUAAGAGGAAAGAUGCAAUUUGUUUUGAAAUAAGAGAAUACCAACAUAUAUUUUGUUUGUCUCCUAAAUUUUAAAUGGUCUAUUUUAGUUUUCCAUUCUACAUGUAUUCAUUUAGAAACUAAAUUGUGCAUUAAAAAAGGGAUAUUUGGGUCCUUAUCAUUAUUUGUUUGCUCAGGUAAGAAUUUAAGGAUCAAGUAAAUGAAGAAAGCUUUGAUAUUACAUAUAACUUCAAAACCUUGCAAUAAUCAGCACAGCAUGUCAAAGUCUACCGUUGGGAUUAAGGGACAGAAGAUUUAUAAAAUCUGCUUAUAUGAUAUCGAAUACCUGAUCAUUCUCGUCAAGAAAUGUGGUCAGUUCAUCUAAUAGAAGCACUUUACAUGCUUCAGCCAAAGCACCAGCAAUGGCAACUCUUUGCUUCUGACCACCACUCAGCGUUUGGACAGAUCUCUGAGGAACAAGAAUAAGAGAUAAAUUAAUUCGGCAGUUCUUUAUAACUUCCAAUUUUGAUAAGCUACAAAGAUAUGGCUUGCCUGAAGGUAGCUAGACAUGCCAACUGCACUCAGAGCUUCCAAAACUCUUGAUUUAACUUCAUCAUUGUUCAAAUUUAACUUACCGAGGCCAAAUGCAACAUCAGCUUCCACAGUAGGCAUAACUACCUAGCAAACAAAAGAUAUAUUUGUUUGCAUCAAAUGUUUGUUACAACAACAAGCAAAAAGAAGGAUGAAAAAUCUUUUUUGUUUGCAAGAAUAGCAUAUGUAUUUUAUCACUAUUCGAAUUUUCUAAAUCUGACAACUUCGCUCUCUGUUUCUUUACCAUCUUCUAAAGAUAUAUUUUAGGUCAAAUUUCAAACCUAGUCUUUGAAUUCAGUCCUGUUAACAAUAAACUAUCAGAAGCUUCAAAUACAUCCCUAAACUUUUGAUAUUGAGUUCAUACCAUUAACAUUGUUACUAAAAUAUUAACAUAACUUACCAAUUAAACUAACGCGUGAUCAUUUGUAACGACGUGACACAAGAGAAUGUGUCAACUAUGUAAAAUAAGGGUAAAAUGGCAGAAAAAUCUGGUGGGAAGGACAAGCUAUAACACGUGACUAUUUUAUCCCACUAGUCCACUCUCCCAUGCUACUUGCUGCCACAUCAUGUUAAAUGAUUACACCAUUGUCCAGUCAACACGCCACAUCAACACUUAAGUAGCAAUGCCAACAGCAAGAAUGAAUUAAAAUUAAAUUGAAUGGAACUUAUAUAGUCUUGGAACUAGACACAGCUCACCAUCAAAGUUCAGGGCUUGCAGGCUAAAUAUGUAAUUAAGCUAAACUUUAUGCGUGAAUUAGCUAAUAUUAAAUUUCUUUUGCAUUUUGAUCCAAAGAUGAAAUUAAUCAUGUUAGAGUGAGCUAUGAGUCAUGUACUUCUUGCAUUUAUAUCUAAUAAUUAUAGAGCUCACACAUUACUUUUCCAGUGCCUUUUCUGACAAAGUCCAUUCUUCAAAUCAGUGCAGUGGCAUAAAAUUUUGAAAAUGAUUUCAGAAAUAGAAUACAGAAAUCCUCUAGAGGAUAGAUGAGCCGCCCAUACCUAGUUAGUAGUAACUAACACAAUAACGUUCGCAGCUAAAGGCUCUGAUGCAAAUGCACAAUUACUUCAAGUGCAAAAGGCACAGUUAAAACAAGAAAUAUUUACUCAAAAGGAGGAGCUUUGCCAUGUUAUUAUAUACCAACAGUAAAUUCUCUUUCAAGGUUCUAAAAUCGGCUGCAAUGUUAUUAUAUACCAACUGAAGCCUGAAGGUUAAAACGAUGAAGGUAACCUGAUAGUCCGGAUUUUGGAAGACAAAGCACUUUGGCUUCUUGACGUAUACUGCACCAGAUGUUGUAUUCAAAAGACCAGCCAAGACCUACAUAAGUGAACACAUCAAGUACUUGUAAAUACAUCAUCUAGAUGAGCUACAAAAGUACAGUGACACAUUAGGGCCCAUUUGAAAAUCGUGUUAAAUUGUGUCCUCUUUUGGGAUAUGAAGAAAUACUAAUCAUAAAUGGCAUUGGCAAUACCUGAAGAGUAGUUCGAGUACGAGCUUGAAAUGUAAGAAAGCUACACUCUAAAGUUGAAGGUUCAAGACCGUAGGUUAUAAACAUAAAACCUAACAUCCUUAUUAUUUCCCGAAGCUGACAUUAGAAUAGGCGGAGCCUCCACAGAGAUUAGUGUCGUGUCAUGGCACACUUGUUUAGUUACUUCACCUUUCGCCAUAUUAGGCAGAAUACAAGUACUUGUUUGACGAAACGCUUUCAUAUUAGAACAGUUUUCAAAUUCGUUUUCGAAACUGUUAAAUUCAAAAUGGUUAGUGUAUUAUGCAUAGUGAAAUCACUACUUUUGUGCUGUUUUUCAAAAAUAGUAAUCAAACAAGUACGGACUCAAUCUAAACAACAUACAACUCCUUUGAACAAAACAAAGUAACUAAACCACAGCCAUUAGGUCCAAGAAGAGCAAAGGUGAGUGAAUUUUGGUAAAACCUUCAAGAGGGUGGAUUUUCCACAGCCAUUAGGUCCAAGAAGCAUCCAAAACUCUCCUGAAGGAAUCCGGAGUGAGCAAUCCCUAAGAAUAGGCACAGAUUUUCCCUGCUUUGUCGUGAUCGAGAAGUUGAGAUUGCGCCCCUCAAUGGCUAUAUUCUCAGUAGUAUUUAUCCUGCAUACACAGACACAAGAAUCCAACGAAAUAGAAGGAUGAGAAAGGAGUUAAGGGAAAGAAAAGGAGGAAGAAGAAGUGAAAAGGGAAUAGCAUUAAGAUUAUAAUGAUGGAACCUGGAGGGGGGAUUGGAGAAAAGAGGAGAAAGAAGAGGAGGCGAUGGGGCAACAAGAUUGAAAGAUGAACUCUUCAAAACCAUUGCUGCUGCAGAAAUGGUGAAAAGAAAUUCGAUUGUUCAAAAUGAAAACACCUUGAAGAUUGAGAGUGUUGUUUGGGAGUGAUCGUUGAAGCGAGGCGACGUACGAGGGUUGGCAGGCGUGGCGGCGGAAACUGAUCGGCGGAGAGGUGACUGGUCGUCGUUAGAGCGCUGGAGAGAGAUAGACGGGGAGCUGCCGCUUUUUCUCCUUUUUCUUUUUUCUAAUUAUACAAAAUUUCCUUUAUAUUUGAUACUUUGGUUUCAAAAAUGUUCUUUUAACAAAUUAAAGUUUCCAUUUAAAAAAAAAAAAAACUUUUAGAAAAGGGUUUAAAAAACGCUUUGUCCCUCACUAAACCAAUUUAUUUUUAUUAUUUUAUGACAAAGACUAUGUAAUUUACAAAAUAUUGAGUUUCCAAUAAGAUUAUGCAAAAAAAAGAAAAUUAUUAAAUUUUAACACUAAUUUCUACCAUAAAAAUUAAAUUAUUACAAAUUUUAUUAAAUUUUAACACUAAUUUUUACCAUAAAAAUUAAAUUAUUACAAAUUUUAAAGUGCAUUUAAAGUCUAUAAACUAAACCGCUGCGAAAUUAAAAAAUAAUAUAUUUUUAUGAAAGUUAUAAAUAUUGGUUUUUCUUGUUACUCAUAGAAUUGUCGAAAAUAUAAUCUAUUACUCAUAAAAUAUAAAAUUUUGCGUUUGUGAAAAUACUUCAAUUAAAUUUUUAUACCAACAAAACAUAGUUAAUUUAAUGGGCAAGAGUUGAGAAAUGGUUAGAUAGUUUUAAUCUAAUUAAAACGUUGAUGACAGUACUAAAAAAAACGUCAAUAACAUCUUGAACGAAUUAAAACCUUGAUAACAAUAUCAUUAAUAUCCAAUAACUAAAAGCAUAAUAUAUUAAUCAUACACGUAAAAAGAAUUAUUAAGAUCAUACGUUAGUAUUGAUAUUAGUUAAUUAUUCAAUAAUGCAAUUAUGUUUUACUAUUUAAUUAAUGUGCAUAUAAACUUGUAUUUAUGAAAGUUAUAGUUAAAAAAUAAUUGGUGAAUUAUUAUAUCCUGAAUAGUUAUGUAAUUUUCUAACAAAGUAAAUGCAUAGAAUAGAUAUCCUAAAAUGGUGUGUUUUAGGACUUUUGCACUUCUGCACACUGCGAGUUCGAACCAUAAACAUUUGAUAUCUUUUAUCUUCUAAACUAACCUUAUAUUUGAUAUUCUCAACUCUGGUAUGUAUUAUCACAAAGUCUUGAAUAUAACUUGGUAAAUAACAUAACUUCUAAUUUGAUAUUAUAUCAUCAGUUUUAUCAUUCUGCGAUAACAACUAAUUAAAGAGCAAAAAACUGGGUUAAAAAAUAUGGUGCUUCUUUUAUUGAUCUAUAGGAUAGGAAUGGAUCAAAUUUAUUAAUAUACAUUGACUCAUUGAGCAAGCAAGAAUUUGGGUUUAAGAAAAAUGAAGCAGGAAUGCUAUUUUCACAAAGCUUACCCAACUUUGAAGUUAAGUAAACAAUAAUCAUGACCUCUAUAAUACUCUUUUACUACACAACAAAUAACAUUUGUGUACCUCAUUCGCUUGGAGAAUCCCCAAUAGGGAAUGAACUAUGAUGUGUUUCCUUCUUGCUAGAGACUCGCUCUUACGGAACAAAGGUCGGAGAGAUUGAGAAAAAUCAGCCAAAAGGGUGCUGGCUACGAACCACUGUCAGGGUUUGAAUCCCUCACCCACAACUGACCAAAAAAGGAAGGACUUUUCUCUUAGAGGUAGGAAAAUCAGUUGACUAUCGAAUCCAACUUUGGCCAUUAUUUUCAUUUUCGUAUCUGUAAUCAAUUCCAAGUUGUUCAAGAAUAGUAGCGUUGUUGACAUGCAAUAACUAGAAAUAUCCAUUCCUCUUUACCCGUUUUCUAGAUUUCAUAAGUUCCACCAGCGAAGGAAGAGGCUCAGGCACAGGGACAUUCAUUGACCUAUACAACUUUCUAAACUUGUCGUUAAAUCCCUUUGAAGAACCGACACUUAAAAGAUGUGAAUUACUACACCCUGCUAUUCUGUCAUUAUUAACCAUCUUUCCAACGUGUGUUUCAAGAAUAAUGGAGACAUCUUUACAAUUGUCUGCUAACUCUUUUUCCUUAACUCUACUUUCCUGCUCAUGGACAUGUUCUUCUACAUCACUGUUGAAUACUUCUGGCAGGUUAUUAUUCGUCGACAAAACUUUUAUUUCAGAAAUAGGGAGCUUAGUUCCAUUAGAGUUAAGUGAGGCGUUUACAUCAGCUGAUAAUGCAUCAUUCGCAAACUUCUCAUGUUUUCCUUCGAAGUGAACUUCAUCUUUAGAAUUUACUGAUGAUUUGCCGCUCAGUUUACACUUUGCAUCAUGAAUGGACAGUUCUGCUACAAUAUCUCCAACAGCUUCUACAGGCUCGUUCUCAGUAGAUGGAUAUGAAACUUCUUCUGACAACAAAGUGGCAUCUUCAAUGGCAAGUCUAGCUCGUCCAAAUAAUGUGAGAGGUGGCAAGUUGCUUGAAGACAAAAUGUUUAACAUUUCUUGAGGAACAGGAUACACUUUCACUGUUUGUGAUUGAGGGUUUACGUUUCUUUGAGUGGGUGCUUCAACUAUAGAAGAACAGCUCACUUCAAUCACAGAUGCAUCUAAAUCUGAAGAACUAUCCUCAGCUAUACCAAAAAGCUUCCAUAUUAGGCCAUUUGAAGUUAAACUAGAACCACUGAGUUUCCUUUUUACGUAAUCCAAAUCCAUGGCUCGACAACCAGGAGUGGUUGAAACAACCCAUUUUGGUGCUAAAAUUUGCAAGGCCCAUUCUAGUUCUUCCUUUGACGAGUGCAUCGAGUAGCAAACAUGCCAAAUACCAUGUUGAUCUUUAAUUGCUUCACUAAUUAUUUGUUUCCUUGAGUUCCAAAUCUCUGACACUUCCUCACGAACAUACCACUGGGUAGAGGGUCGGAUUACGAGAGGUUCAGACAGAAAAUUGGUCUGAGCAUCUGCAAGCAGUGUUCUUGCAGUUUGACAUAGUUUAGGGAAUCCAUCAAGUAGAUGAAAACGGGAGGAUGGAUCUUGAGUGAGGAUGUCAGGGUUUAUAAGUUCAAGAGCCUUAUAGCCUGCUUUCUUGGAUUCAUCAGCAAAUAUCUUUGAACCAAAUGUUUGGGACACUUGUUGCAAUAUAUCUUCCUGUCCUAGAAGAUUGCAAAUCAGAUAUACUAGCGGAGCAUCAGGGUGUUUCCAUAUGCAAUUAAUAAUCUGAAAAGAUAAAUUAUCUUAAAUUAUAUACUGGUUAUAUAUUAUAAGAAUGUAAAUACUUAAUAUUCAUUCUACCAAAACAAUCAAUAAUAUACAGACGAACUAAGGGUUUAAGCAGAGCACAAAACAAUGAAAAGAUUUUCAGCCACCAAGAUAUACGCCAUGAACUAUAGAAAUUUAUUGUCAUAAGAAAGGUGAAGUUUAAAAUUAAAAGAAUCGUCAACAAGUUAACAAAUGCCAGAGUAUGAAAUUUUGAAGGAUCCAACAUAAGAAAUCUAAUUGAAACAUGGUUUUUGUGCACAAUUAAUAUGGGCUCCAAACAUUUGUAAAGUGGUCCAAAAUGAUGGUAUCACCCAACAACUCAAACGAAUAGAUAUCACAUGGUGCUACUUGUUUCAUGAUAAUAAUAAAAGGAGAAAAAAAAGGCAUCAGCAGCAGCAGAAGAAGAAAUAUGUGGAACAUGAGCUGCUUCCCAUUAGCAUCAGGCAUAAAAGGAACAGGGGGAGAAGACGUAUCAAAUAAUUGAAAAGAUUUAAAAAGAAUUCAGAGAAAUUUGCAGAAAGGAAAGGAAACUCUUAUCAUUUCAUUAUAUUUGCAUAUGUCAAAAUUAGUCACGUAGAAUCUUGUAUUGGAGGAAACUGCUUAGGCAAGGUUAGGAAAAGGACACCACAGAAACAUGGUUGUUGAUGAUUUUAGCCUACAUAUCAUUACUCUGCAAUGAACGGAGAAGCACAGAGAAACUUGAAGUUGAAGCUCUAGAACUACAAAGCAAGAAUAUAGAUAAAAGGGGCUAGGAAACUGUUAGACCCCCAAUAUUAUAUCAAUACCGGAGGAGGGGAAAUAAGUUUGUUUAGGGGGGAGACACGUGUGAAUAAGUUUGUUAGGGGAGGGAGGGAUAUGUGAGUAAUUGGUUGGGUAAGGUUAGGUUAGUUAGACAUAUAAAUAAGUUUGUUAGGAGAGGGAGGGGUAGGCUUUAUUUUUUUUGAGUUAUUGAAUCUUCCUGUUAUUUCUUGGGAGAGAGGGAAACAGAGGAUUGUACGUUCUGCUACAUUAAAUCAAUAAGAUAGAAUUCUCAGUUGGAUUUGGCUACGAGUUCCAUCAGAAACCAAAAAGGUUCUGCAGAAGAUCUUACAUAUAGGCUAUAGCUAUGUCAAAGAUAUACACAUCCAUGAAAAUAAAAUACAAAAAGGAAAUUUGUAUGUUGACAUGACAUUAACAGACAGAUUUCAUGAUUGAAAAUCUACAGGGCAUUCACUUGAUUCUCAAAUCUCAAAACGUAUUAAAUAACUGAACAAUGUUACCUGAUGUAUUGAUGAAUGCCUGCUAGGGAAUUGUUGAAAGAAUCUACCAAAUGUACAGUCUAAAAAAAUCAGAUCCAGUUUACAUCUUGGCUCUUUACCACUUUUUCCACGAUACUUCUCAGGUAAGUUCUGUAGGCACUCAGGAGUUAAUCUACAAUCACCCGUAUGCAGAACAUUGCCAAAAUAGCCUUCAAAUAAGAACAUAACAGCUCCUAGUCCAUGCCAGAGAAAUAUAUCAUUUGUCAGCUUCUAAAUGGUGAUAACAUUAAAUAUUCGAAUGCACAUAAUAACCCCCACAAGAUCUCUCAGAAAAAGAAUGACAAGGAAAAAGGAAGAAUACGCUGAAAACAAAAGAUAUGUGAUGAGACUAAAAAUGAAGUGUAGAAGGCUUAACAUAAACCUAACAAAAUACUGGUCUAGAUUAGCAUAUACAAUACCAACAAAUUUUAAUCCAAGUAUGAAAUGAGAGAGCAUUAAAAGUCUUGCUCAAGACAAAAAUUAAAGGAUCUGCAGAUGAAUGGAAAAACAAAAAGUAAGGGAUAAUGUAGAGUGCAAUAGCUAAAGGAGAUGAUCUCAAGAUUUUACUUUAUAGUAUAGCUUCAGGGAGAAAGCAGGAAUUUGAAUCAGUAGGUUAUAUAGUCAGAUUAUCAUUCUUGCCCCUGCCUGCAGGCUGAAAAAUUAAAGGAGAGAUACUUAACCUUUUCCUUUGGUAACAUGUAUCCAAGGGCCUAAAUCAUAGUUCAUAAAUGAUCCAAAUAGAAUUAGAAUUGUCUCCCAACUCUUCCACAGCUAGCAUCUAAUUAGAAAAAAACACGAAGGAGGUACAGACUCUGUGCUAUUGAAAAUUACAUAGUUGACGAUUUUAUUGAUAUAUGCAAGUUUAAUUCUUCAAAUUUCGGUGCUAAUAAGAUGUGAGAUUUUAAUGUUAAGGGGGUGUUUGGCCUAAGGAGUGGGGGGCGGGGGGGGGGGGGGGGGGGGGGGGAGUUGUAAACUCCACAAGGAAUUUCUGGGCCACAUAACAAGAAAAAAACAUAAACUUUAUGCCUUAUUAACUCUUUAUAUUGUGGGUCUCACAACUUCACAAGUCGCCUCCUUGGCCCAAGCACCCCAAGUUUCAAACAUUUCUAUAUAAAUGCACUUGAAAAAUAAGGAAAGUAUAUAGAAAAUAAGGAAAGCCUAAAAAAGGUUCACAGCCACUUUCUUUUUUUAUAAUGUUUUUCUAGAUAACCAAAAAGUUUUGUGAAGAAUGUCCAGAGACAGUAGGUACUCGAAUUUCUCUGUCCCAAUUGACAAGUUUUCUUUCUUCCUAAAUGCUUUUUUUUUUUUUUAAAUGGAAAAAAUAGAUGAAGAACUUGUGCUCUUAUCUGAUAAAGACGAUGAGAUAACCCUUGUCUACUCCACAUUGAUAUUCAUAGUUGGGCAUCUAAAGCAUAUUAUUUUUUCUUACGAGGAGUCAAGGUGAAGAUCUUUAACUUUUCCUUCAUGCUGGAAAAAUCACAACUUACAUUAGAACUAAAACAAUAAUGCACAAAAUAGGUGCACCCUUUGAUGGUAAAAUUCAAAUAUAACUUGACCAACUGUACCUUUUCUAAGAAAAAAAUGUUAUAUUGUCUUUUAAGACACUCCUCUUAAUUGGUGCUUCUGCUAUAACCUUUUUAUAAUCUUCAGUCAAACAGCCAAUAGUUAAAUGUCAGUUUAAGUUAAAAUACAACCCCAAGAAGCAGCUAAUUGCUUCAUUCACUCACAACAACGAAAAAUUCAAUGCCAUGUUAAUCUUAAUCCUAAAAGUGUGUAAGAACAGUAGGUCUGCUAUUUGAAUUUCUGACAUUUCUAUAAUUCCAAUUGUUAUUUAUUAGGAGCCCACCCGAAAAAUGAUAUGCGCACAUUUAAGCCUUAAUAAAAUCUGUUAAAUCACUUAAUUAAAACAAAUGGGUGGGAUGGAAAAAAUACCAGGGCAGUGAUGAGCAUCGAAAACGGUAACGGUGAAAGCUCCAUCAGGAUCUUUGACGACCAGCGAUUGCCCCACCUCGAUACAUACAAACAGUGAAUCAUGUAACUGCGAAAAGGAACAACAAUUCCAAGUCAAAUUAAGCCUCCCGAAAAAGAAAAGCAAUGGGUCGAUUGAAAGUGAAGAGAAACCUGGGGAAACUGCUGAAGAACGAUAGACUUGGUGAGAAAAGUAGAAUAAAUGGGGAAGGAAAAAUGGGGGACAAUCCCAGUGGUGUGAUCCCUGUGAGCGUGUGUUAGAAAAUGGUGGCGCUUCUUCUUGGAAGAUGGGGACCAUGUAUCCACUGAAAAAGGGAGGCCUUGGGGCAUUUCGAUCGGCAUCUUCGAGUUCUGAGGGGGAAAUUCCGAUGGGAGGGGAAGAGGAAAAUGGGAAUAAGAACCCUAAUUUGAUUCAUAACGAUUCUGUCAAAGCUUCCACAAGAAGCAAAAUUUAGUGGCGGGACGGUUGAAUCACCACUCUAUUUAUAUUUUACCGCCUUUACCAUUUUUCCAAUACAUUUUUAAAGCAUAUAUAUAGUGCAUUUUUUUUAAAUGGUAAAAUAUUCAAAAUAAACUUUCUUUAAUUUUUUAACUUUUCUCUGCUUUUUAAAUACUUUUCACAACCCUAAACCCUAAAAUUACCAAAUUAAUUUCAUUAACCAUACCAUGUUUUUCAAUACUCCCAAAUGAAAGACUAUUCAAUUUUGAGUCUUAAUUAUAUCAAAAUCACUUGAGAUUAAUAAAUUGUAAAUAAGAAUAUAAAUUGAAAGAACAUAUAUAAAAUUUAUGAAAAAAAAUGAUUGGACAGUUUGCAUUUUUAUUUAUUUAUUGAAAAAUAAAAUGAGAUAAUAAAAAAAAAAUUGAAUUACAUAAAAAUAAAGGAUAAAAAAGAAAAGAAAAGAAGAUGAGCAGCGACAGAAGAUGGUUUGACAGCCUAAAUGGACAUAGAAGAAGAAUAAUACUACCCUUAUUCUUCAAUGCCUUAUUUCAUUUAUAACAUUCCUAUUAAUUAACCACACUACCCACCACAUUUCAUAAAAAAAAAAUAAACUAUAAUCAAGCUUGGAAAACUACAACAACAACAACAAAACACCUAAAAUGAAAAAUCAGUUUUGAGAGGGAGCAUCGGGUUGGUUUUCUGGUGCUGCAUCUUGAAAUGCUGCUAUCUUCUUGUAUUCUUCGUACAACCUUGAUAGAAUUGGAAACUUGGACUGCACCAACAUAACAAUAAUAUGUUUAUUAACCCUUUGUUAAUUAACAAUGGACACUGAUUAAUUUAACUUACUACUUAGCAUUAAUAUAUAAAAAUAAUGAUUAAAAUACAGUACCAUGUCAAGAUUGAAUGUUUCAAUGGCCCGAUGAAGUUGAGGUGCCAAAAACAAGUCUGCCUGCAUCCAAAUAAUAACAAAUAAUUCAUCAUCUUAAUUAUCAUCUCAUUACAAACAAAGCUACUUCAAACACACACAUACCCUACUUCAUAAGAAACUUUAGCUAUAUAAGUCUAAGUAUAUGUAUAUAUUAAUGGAUAAGUACUCUUGGGCAUAAAAAUUUGAUCAAUGAAAUUAGUAGACUAACCAUAUAAAUUUGGUCUCCAGUAGCAAAAUUUCCAGCUUCAACUGUUAGCAACUUUUCUAGUGCUGAAACAACACGCAUGUAAAAAGAUGGUUUUAGAACUAAGAGGGAAUCAAACUAGAUCUUUAUAAAGAUAGAAGACUGCUUCGUUUCUCAUUGGAACCCCCCCCCCCCCCCCCCCCCCCCCCAUGCUAUCAAAUAAUUAAGUUAUCAACACCCACAUGGUAGUUUCUUUGUUUAAAGUUGUUUACUUCUCUUUAUAAAUGGUUGAAGAAUAUUAUUAUGUAGAGAAAGCUAAAUUUUACCUAAAAAACCUUUUCCAAUGAUCAUGUGAACCCAAGAAAGUUUCUCCUCAGUACCACAUUUUUCCUCAAUGUAUUUCUGUAAAUUAAAAAAACAGUAUAAUUAAUAUAUACAUUAGGAUUUCAACCCUUUUAAAUAAUGAAAUUAAAAAAUAAUUAAUCAUUGUUUCAAUAAUCACUCUUACCUCAACAAUUAAAUUUUGAAGAGGCUGUAUGCUUGAAGAAACAAUAUUUGCAACCUGUGAAGAAAAAAGAAAAGAUUUUUUUUUAAAAAAAAUUUAUAGACUAAAAAUGAAACAUUUACUUCAAAGUUAAAAAUACGAAUUACUAGUCCCAUAAACACAAAUUUAAAUAUAAAUAUUACCUGGUGAUUAAUAGCCCUUUUAACAAGAUCAGUAGGCAGCAAAGGACGCUCAGGAUACUUUUCCUCCAAAUACUGUAUGUUUACACAACUAAUAUCAAUUAGUGAUAUCAUUAGGAGAGCCAUAUUUAAUUUGUAGAUAUGUAGGCUAACUAAUCAUCACAAAUAUUUUCAUUAAUAAAUUUCUAAAAUAUAUUUUGAUUUUAAGAGUCUCCCAAUGAGUUAAAAUUCUUCUGCAGGUAACAUUUGUUGAGUUAUAUCUAUUGAUAGUACUCUCUUCAUUUUAAAAUGUUUCCUUUCCACAUUGUGUUUCUUAAUAAGUAUAUAUGCACAACUUAAUUUAAUUAGUUCACUUUUGUUAACAUUUGGUUUUGUAAGUUAUCAUUUUGCAAAAUUAGCUUAAUUACUAAUGAAUGGGACCUGGGAGUUUAAGGACUCCAUCUUAGUUAAAGCUGUCAUUUCUAAAUUCUCAACUAAACUGCUUUGUUUCGAAACUUAGAUCUUACUUUUUAUAAAUGUAAUAAUAGAUAUAAUUUGAAACUUACGAAAAAAAGAAAAGAAAAGAAAAGAAAAGAGAGAAACACAAACCAUUAUUAUAGCAAAAGAGUCAGCAAUAACAACAUCUCCAUCCACAAGAGUAGGUACAAAACCAACAGGAUUGAGCUUUAGAUAUUCUGAUCACAUCAAUUAUGUAACAACAAAGUUAAUUAAAACACAAACAAUAACAUAUAUAUACAUAUAACAUUAAACUUACCAGGAGCCAAAUGCUCUCCCUUCAAAAUAUCAACAGCUUUAUACUGAAAGUUUAGUCCUGAAAAGUAACAGAAAAGAACAUAUGCAUGCAUGAGAUGAUUUUGAAUUACUUUGAUCGCAAUAAUGCAUUUGAGAUCACUUGAUAUAUAUCAACUCAGUGUUUGAUUUAGUUCAUUACUUAAUUUGAACACAUUUUUUCAUACUGUUAUAAAAAACUAAUUUAUUUUUUAAUGAUUAAAAUAAUUUUGCAGAGUGGUUUAAUUAGUAAUACCUUUUAGGUUGAGGGCAAUUCGAACACGUUGGGCACAAGUGCUGGCCCAGAAUGAGUAGAGCUUCAAUGGAGAUUCUUCGUCCACUGCCAUAGCCGCCUUACCCUUAACAACAGAGAAGAUGAAGCAAACUUUAUAUAUAUAUAGACCACAAAAGAAAGGAAGACGAAAAUCAAAUUGAAUAUUUUUGCAAAUUAUUACAAUAAUAUUUGAGAAAUCAAUGUAUAUAUGGAUCCAUUCAUUGAUGACUUUAACACCCACCACUGACCACACUGUCUCUUAUCUUUAUUACAUAGUCAAGCAUGUUGAUGUCAGCGCUUACAUCGGCAUCGACUUGGAUGUUUGAAUGAUCAAUUACAUAAUUUUCCAAUCAAAUUCAACUAUUGCAUAAUAAAAUUUGUUCUCAAAAUAAAAUUCUCACUAUAUAUCUUAAAAUUCUAUUCCAAAUCUAAACCAAAAUUAUUUACAUACUAUAAAAUUUGGAUAUAUUCCAAAUAAAACAUGCAUGAUACAGAUAUAAAAAAAAUGUAUUUUUUUAAAACAACUUUCAAGUUUAUAAAAAUAUGCUCAUUUGGUAAUUGGUAUUAAGUUCAAUUUUGAACGUUCACUUUCAUUAUUAUAUUGAUUAUUGUAAUAUAAAUAGUAUAAUACACAUUCCAGUAUGCUUGUAUAAUAUAUGAUUAAUUAAGUUCAUGAUUUUUUGGUCAUCAAAUACUUGAUUAUGAUGCAUGUGAUGCAUGUGCUAAUUUCAAGUUAUUGAAAAGAGUAUAAUUGGAAGACAUAUCUUCUCCAAUAACCAAGUAUCUCCAACAUGAAACAUAAAAAGUAAAAUUAAAUUCCCUUUCUUGCCCUUAAAGAUUAUAGAUGACAUAUAUAUAUAUAUAUAUAUAUAUAUAUAUAUUCCAACACAAAUGAUUCUUUUCCCUAUGCUCUUCCCAUGGCAAUUUAUUCUUUGCUUCUUCCCCUUUAAUUUGUCCAUAUAAAGCCUAAGAAAUAGAGAAAAAGAAGAUUGGUUGAUUUAGGAAUAUUUUGAGUAUUUUGAAAAAGAAGAAGAAGAAGAAUUGAAGUAUUUUGUUGUUGGAAAUUAGCUAAUAAUGGAUGGAAGAGGGAAUAGUAAUAAUAAUGUUCAUGAUCAUCCUCCAAAUGCAAAGUUUGAGUUCACUCCAACAUGGAUCAUUGCUGUUGUUUCAUCCAUUAUCGUUAUCAUUUCCUUCUCCCUUGAGCGUGGCCUUCAUCACCUUGGACAGGUUCUUAUACACAACAACAAUACCUUUCCCAUUUUUUACUUUCUUUAUUUCUUCAUUUCUUUACCUACUUUCAUCGAUUUUGAUUCGUUAUUUUAAGGGUUUUGUAAUUCUAGAAAUGCUCAUUUUGAUUAUAUGUUUCAAAUAUCGAUAUAUCAUCGGUGGAUUAUUGAACUAUUAUUGAAGUGGUUUUAUAUAUAUCUAGUAGCAUCUCAGUACAUUAAUGCGAAGCUUUAUUAAUUACAAAUAUGUUUAAAAUGUGAGAUUUUAGCAUAAUGUGUAUAUAUAUAUAUAUGCCCAACAUAAAUGACAUUUAUCUACCUUUUUGUUUAAUGUGGUUCUUUCCUUGAUUCAGAAGUUGCAGAAGAAACAGAUGGAUGAACUAAAUCAUGCGUUGCUGAAACUAAAAGAAGGUUUUUUCUCAAUAUUUUCCCUUUUUUCUUUUCUCAAGACUAUGCAGUUCACUCUAUACAAGUCUUUUCCCUAUAGUUUGGCCUCUAAUAUUUAGAGGUUAUGAUUUUAAUGCCGAUAUUUUCCCAUGAGUCCAAAUUCCAUAUAUUCAACAAUCAAAUAAACUUACGAACAUAUAUAUAUAUAUUAUCUAGCUGAUCUCACUAAAUUAUGAAUUAAUGAUAUUUGAUCAUCACACGUUGGUAUGGGAUUUUCCUCUAUCUUUAUUGUGUAAGGUGUUCGUUCAAUACUGAAUGUGUAAUUACAAGAGGUGCAGUUGAACGUUUUUCUUAUAACUUUCUCUCUCUCUCUCUCUCUCUCUCUCUUUUUUACAGAGUUAAUGAUUUUAGGGUUUAUCUCCCUAUUAUUCAACGUGUUUCAAGGGGCAAUCGGACGUUUUUGUAUGCCCAAAGAUUUUGCAUACCAUAUGCUUCCAUGUAAGAGAAGUACCGUGCCCGUUGUUAAUCAUUUCUCAUCGUCAAAUUUUGUCGAUCACAAUUACAAUAUUCACCGUCAUCUAUUAUCGACAACUCAAGCUAAUUUUCAACAUUGCUCACGAAAAGUAAGGGUUUGUUUCAUAACACAUCUUAUGACUAUUUUUAUAAUUACUGUUUUCAUAUAUUCUUUCUAAAUAAUUACUUUAAUUGUGUUUUAUGAACAGGGGAAGGUUCCUCUAUUAUCUUUGGAAGCAUUGCAUCAGCUCCAUAUAUUCAUAUUUGUGUUGGCUGUUGUUCAUGUCAUCUUCUGUGCUACAACCAUGCUUCUAGCCUCUGCAAAGGUACUAAAUUCUCUCUCUCUC
RNAcentral lists this long non-coding RNA (68811 nucleotides) under Cucumis sativus (cucumber). RNAcentral describes it as "long non-coding RNA (CSAT_LNC000685)". Lineage: Eukaryota; Viridiplantae; Streptophyta; Magnoliopsida; Cucurbitales; Cucurbitaceae. The record is from RNAcentral.